RNAcentral lists this long non-coding RNA (57926 nucleotides) under Malus domestica (apple). RNAcentral describes it as "long non-coding RNA (MDOM_LNC006651)". Lineage: Eukaryota; Viridiplantae; Streptophyta; Magnoliopsida; Rosales; Rosaceae. The record is from RNAcentral.
UAGGGUGACAUUGACUUCAUUCCCUAAAAUGUAGGGUGAGAAACUCCCUUACGAAAACAUGAGAAAAAUAAAUACAUUGAACAGUUUACAAACAUUUUGAUGUGCAUUUGCAUAAUUGUGAUUUGUAAAGAUCAUUCAUAUGUAUGUUUAUCUAAAGAACAUAAAUUAAGAAUAAAAAGAAUUUGAAUUAAGUUGGUUGGUGGGGUUUAAAAUGGAAAAAGAAAAAAAUGUUAGUUUAUUUAAGAUAACAUAACUUAAAAGUGACAAAAAUUCUUACCCAAAAGAAAAAAAAUAAGGUUAAAACCAUCCACGACAAUUUCUAAAUUAUAGGUCUUGAAGUUUGAACAUUCGCCGUUCACAAAUCUAAAUUGGGGUGUGAUACCUUUUUUUACUUCUCUCACUCUUUUAAUUUUCGACCGUCGGAUCAGAUGAAUUAAAGAAGAUCAAAAGACAGAAAUUAACAAGAGGUGUGGGAGAAGUAAAAAUGAGUGUGUGUAUAGCACACCCUAUCUAAAUUAUGCCUUUUGGUGGAUCUAAAUAUUAGAUUUUGAGUCAGACGUGUUGAAGUUGAUCAGAGUAGGUUUGAUUUUCUGUUCCCUCUUUUGAAGUUUGGAAGUGAAGUCGUAUGAAUGUAGCUAACCUUCUUCGCCUUACGUGAAACCGCACUAAUGGGUUGGUUUUGCUUUUAUUGAGAAGACAUCAUCCAAUUUUAUGUAAUUUCCCAUCUUUUGCACUUUGAAUUACCUCUUUUUUUUUUAUUUAUUUAUUUAUUUUAUUUAUUUAUGUUUUGAAGACAAAAAUGAAUUGGUGCGAAGGGAUGGCCUACCACUUCAUUAUUGAUGUGGUUAUCUAAGCGUUCAUGUACAUUUUGUUUUUUUUUUCUCCAUAAAUUAUUCGUAUUUUUUUAACAAGGAUAAAUUAUUCGUAUUUAAAAGUUUGUGAAUUUUUAAUUUUAGUAGUUAAUAAUUGUUACAAGAAUUUGACUCUUACUCUAACAUUUCUAUCAAAAUUGAUUCUCAAUAAAAAAAACAAUGGUCAUAAACUCGAUGACAUACAAGAAUCUCUAGUUAAGAAAAAAAAACUUGAAAUUUUUAUUAUUUGACAAAAAUAAAAUUGAAAAGGUUUCUUGUUAAAUGUCUUCAACAUGCAUUUGAGAUUUGAUAUAAUUAUUAUCUUAAUUUCCUUUGUCGCCUGUGUAUUCUUGUUAAUUGUUAUACUAAUUAACGAGAAAUAAAAGUCCAAAAUUAAAGUAACAUUGAUUAAACCAUAAUGUUCAGAUAUUUGUAUACUAAUUUUCCAUUGGAAAUGUGAAGCUGCAUGUGUUCUAUUGCCGACACUCCUUGAACCAAUUAUCCUUUGAGAUCUUUUUCAUCUUUCUUUACAUUGUUAGUAUACUUUUGUGUUUGGGGGAAGAGAACAAAGCCCUCACCGUCAGUCACCAUGCAUGUCACUUUACUAUUUUUUUUUACGUUGUUAGUGGGGGUGGGGUGGGGGGUGGGGGGGUGGGGGGAAGAGAACAAAGUCCUCACCGUCAAUCACCAUGUAUGUCACUUUACUAUCUUUCUUUACGUUCUUAGUGGGGGGUGGGGGUGGGGUGGGGAGGGGGGGGAGAGAGAACAAAGCCCUCACCGUCAGUCACCAUGCAUGUCACUUUACUAUCUGUCUUUUACGUUGUUAGUGUGUGUGUGGGGGGGGGGGGGGGGGGGGGGGGGGGGGGGGGGGGGGGGGGGGGGGGGUGAAGAGAACAAAGCCCUCACCAUCAGUCACCAUGCAUGUCACUUUACUAUCUUUCUUUACGUUGUUAGUAUACUGCAUGUGUUCUAUUGCCGACACUCCUUGGACCAAUUAUCUUUUGAGAUCUUUUCCAUCUUUCUUUACGUUGUUAGUAUACUUAGGGGGUGGGGAGCCGAAGAGAACAAAGCCCUCACCGUCAAUCACCAUGCAUGUCACUUUACUAUCUUUUUUACGUUGUUAGUAUACUUAGAGCAGUUCCAGCGUGGGAACCCUCCUCCCAGGCAAUACACUAUGCUAUCCACUCAAUGAACAGUAACUGCCUUAAUAAACAGUAACCGUUUUUUGCAUCUCCACAGUUACACUUUAAUAGCCCUAACAAUAGGCAAUAAAAUAAUAGUUUUAUUUAUUUAUAAAAUAAUACCAAGAUAAUUAAAAAAAGACAAAGCAAAGAGCAGCAUAUGACUCUCUCUCUCUGUUGAAAUGAAGACCACCAACACAGCCACCACAAACACAAAGCUUAUCCUCCUCCACCCCUAAGCAAUCCACAAACAGUGGAAGCCACCGCCUGUGGCUCUUCUUCUUCUUCACCUUCUUCACCCUCGCAUUCACCCUCACUCUCAUCAUCACCACCAUCCCCCAAACCCUCCCCACCUCCUCCCUCACCCCCACCUCCGUACUCCCCUUCCCGCCCGUCGUCUUGGACGCACUUCUUCACUAUGCCAUUUCAUCAUCAAACACCUCGUCAGCACCCCACAUGUCCUCGCCGGAACUCACAUCCAUAUCCUCCGCCCUCACCCGCCUCUGCGCACCCAACUGCAAUUUCCUCUUUUUCGGCCUCACCCUCUAGAACCUAACAAAAAAAUUAAAAAAUUAAAAAAGGCGUCUGACAUCAGCUAACGUCAGAACCACCUCAGGUGCUCGGGCCAGAACGAAUCCACGGGCCUAGAGCUCGGCCUGCUCGGGCUCCCUCGCCAGCCAACGAUGGACUUCCUCCCUGGGCAAUCAGGUCUUGUGCUGAAGCAUGUCCAUCAAGCAAAAGCUCCCGCUGGAGCUGCUCUUAGGGGGGAGCUGAAGAGAACAAAGCCCUCACCGUCAGUCACCAUGCAUGUCACUUUACUGUGAAUAAAAAGAAAAGCUGGUAGUUCAACUAAUCUCAUAAAAUUUGUCAAUUUUCAAUAAAAAAAAAAGAGGGGGGUUAGUCCUAAGUUUUCUUGAAACAUAAGUAUUGUUGUGCAUCAUAUUAGGGUAUAUACUACACUUACUUACCACAUAUUUGUAUUAUCUAUCUAAUAGAAGAAAUGGCACGUAAGGCCGAUAGCGGCCCCUAGAAAUUAAAGUCUUGCAUGGAACUCAAUUGUCAGAGAAGUCGUUUGAGUGCCCUCACUUUUGCGAUUACUACUACUACUAAGAAUCUUGUACCACUAUAUGAAAAUUUAUUAAAUGACGAGAAUAACUUGUAUGAAAUAUGUAUACUGUCAUCAUGAUGUCUCAAUUUCAUAAUGUAAUGUCGUAUGAAAGAAAAUUUUGCACAUAACAAUUUAUUAGACAAAAACAUCAUGUGAUAAACAUAUUCGACGUAAGUCUUCUCCGAUAAUUUAGCCAUGGUACCAUGAUGACAUUUCAACUUUUAUCUUUGAAAAAUAAGAGUAUAGGACCCCAUUUCGUCUUGACCUUUUCUCAAAAUACUGUACCAUUCUUUUGUCCGUGAGUCUCUAUUGUGGUCAGCAUACAACAGCUGUUAUUAAUUACUGUAACCACAUACUCGAGUUGACAUCGAUCAUUCCUGCCAGUUGCCAGACAAAAUUAAUGGAAACUUAGAUUGUUUUAACUGUACGAGAUAUUUUCUGAGUGUGUGUACUUUUAAGUUUUAAUCCAUUUUAAUUUGUGUCAUUUUUUUAUAAACAAAUGAUAUUAUUUAUAUUUAAAAAGAAUAUGAGUUUAGUCUCAUAAUGAGCUAUCAAUAAUAUGGUUCAAAUUCGUCUUUGACAAUAAUCGAACUUGAGACGAUUCAAAUUCGCAUUUGACAAUAACCGAACAUGUGAUCUAUUACUUACAAGUGCAGAGGAAUACCACUAGAUCGUAGUAUUAAAUGAUAAUUGAAUAUGUGUCAUUGAAUAAUUAAGGGAGUGAAAAUUCUAUGUGUAUAACUAUAAGGCGUGGGUCGGAAGAAGGAUUUUAUAUCGAUAGCGUCGAUAUCAGUAGUGUCAAUAAUUGUAUCGAUAAUUAUGGUGUACUAAUAACUAUACAUACGUUGACAUAUAUUUUCAUCAGUACUUGUGUUGAUGUACAAAACCGGAAGUCUUGGAACAACGUAAAUCCGACCGUGAAUCUACAUGUAAUGUAAAUAACAUAAGAUGUAUCGUGGUUCACCCCAAGGUUUGGGCUACGUCCACACUGAUAUUGUAUUUAUCUGAGAGGUGAGGGAGAUAACCUCUGAAUAUGAGAGGGGAUUGAGAGGGGUGAGAAGGCUUCAUAAAUGGCCUCCUCUAAUUGUGAGGGUGAUGGGUCAUUUUAUAGAAUAAGGACUUCUCACUUAUUACAUAUUUGCCCAUUCCUUUAUUACAUAAUUACAUUUAAGUCCCCUGAGUAUUUAUACGAGGUCUAAAUACGAGGCCCUAAAUAUGGUAUAAACAGUAGUCCCCCAAGUCUUCAGUCAAGAGAGUCUUUUGGCUGGAGACUUGAAAUUCAGUCCAUGUCCAUGUGUGGGCCGAAGUAACUAAAUGUUGUCUUGAACUGAUGUUCGAUAUGAGGCGGUGCUCAAUCUGAAAUGAUGCUCAACUAGAAGUAGCAUAUGUUGCAAGGCUGCUCGGCUUGUGGUUUAUGUUGCCUUGGUUGACUCGGCUUGUAGCGCUUGAAGGUGAGGGAGUCCCUUUUAUAGAAUAAGGGUUCGCUCAUCGAUACAUAAAUGAUGGGCUAGAGUUGAUGCUCGCGGCGAGGCGGUUGCUCAGUAGGCGGCGAUGCUCUCUAAUGAUGGUGAGGGAGUCCCUUUUAUAGAAUAAGGGUUCGCUCCUCAAUAUAUGAAUAAUGUGCUAGAGUUGAUGCUCUCUAAUGAUGGUGAGGGAGUUCCUUUUAUAGAACAAUGGUUCGCUCCUCGAUACAUAAAUAUGGGCUGGAGUUGAUGCUCGCGGCGAGGUGGUUGCUCAGUAGGCGGUGAUGCUCUCUAAUGGUGGUAAGGGAGUCCCUUUUAUUAAAUAAGGGCUCGCUCCUCAAUAGAUGAAUAAUGUGCUAGAGUUGACGCUCUUUAAUGAUGGUGAGGGAGUCCAUUUUAUAGAAUAAGGGUUCGUUCCUAAAUACAUAAAUAAUGGGCUAGAGUCCCCCACUGCUUUGUUCCCCUAAUACUAAACAUCUGAAACAGAAGAUUUUAUUUCAUCACUAACGUUUAUUCUUUGGGCUUCUCAUUUGUAACAGGAUACCGAUGUUGUGUGGCUAAGGGACCCCUUCAAAAAACUAAGCAAGAACGAAACAGAAGAUUUACAAAUGAGUACAGAUAUGUUCUUCGGGGAUCCUUGGAACGCAAGUCAGUUGAUCAACACUGGCUUCUACUACGUCAGAUCCAAUAGCAAGACCAUAGCACUGUUUGAUAGAUGGUACACCUCCAAGGACAAUGCCACAGGACUGAAAGAGCAGGAUGUCCUAUUGAACUUAUUCCGAGGGGGUAUUACCGGGGAGUUGGGACUUAGGGUAAGGUUCUUAGACACCCUCUAUUUCAGUGGUUUUUGCCAAAACAGCAGGGACUUCGGGCAAGUGAGCACGGUCCACGCCAAUUGUUGCCGGAGUAUUGUCGCCAAAGUUAAGGACUUGAAAGCCGUCCUCCGGGAUUGGAAACGGUUCAAGAGGUUCAUGUCCCACAAGAGGAGUUCUGGUACUAGUACGACGAGUUUCCAAUGGACUGGGCACUUUGGAUGUUGGAAUUCCUGGGCUGUUCCCAAUUAACUCUGGUAAUGCAACUCAUAAGACAUGAAUUUUUCUUUUUUUUUUUUUUUUUUUUUUUUAAAGAAGACGUUAGUAAAGAAGGAGAAGGGUAAAUCAUACGAGAAGGAAAUAGUUUUCUAUCUUAUUUUUAGAAAGUUCAGGUGAAGGAAGGGAAUAAUUGAACAGUGUCGUUUAAAAUUUGAGGAUAAAUGCUCUACCAAUAGAGUUAUAUAUGCCCCCACAAAGUAGUUCGAUAAAUUCAAAUUUAUGUCUCCUUAUUUUUUUUUUUUCUUUCAAGAUUAUCAAAAUAAAUCUGUAUGCGAUUCAAAGGUAUGUUUCAAAAAAUGUAAGUAGCAUAAAGGAUUUAGAAUGUCUUAAUAUGGGUUUUCUUAGCAUAUCGUGUAAUUUUUAUUAAUUGGUUUGAACUCAAAUGGCGCACAUUUAUCAAUCAUAUUGUACGGUUCAUAUUACUAAUGUGAUUCUUGUCAAAUAUUGUAUGAAUAAAUGUUGAAAUAUUGCAUUUUUAUUUUGUGGUUGGAGCACAUGAGUACUACCAGACCUUCGCAAAUUGAACUUUUUCUUCAUUAAGGUUUUGUAAGAUCUAAAAAUAAAGUAAACUGUGGAUCUCUCCCUUAAACUUUCACCUAACUUUUAAUUUACCCCCUAAACUUUUAAUUGGAAAAUCAAGGACUUAAACUAAUUUUUUGGUUGAUUUCCCCCUUGCUGUUAGUUUUUCAUUCCUUUUCCAUCCAUAUUUCUGUUAAAUGAAAUCAUGUGCACAACAUAUGAGGGUAGUUUGGUCGCUUCAUUAUUUUAAAUAAUUGAAAACCCUAGAUUUCUAAAAUGCCUACCUGUGCAAAUCUGUGUUAUUCUAUAGUUUUUGUGUCUGAAGGUCUAGCGAAGUGUUGUUUUUGUUCUCCAAGGAGAGUCAUGUGAUGUGCACGUGAUAAGAGUUAACAUUAAUUUGAAUGAAAUCUAUGGAAAAAUAACGGUAGGGAAAAUCAGCCAAAAAAAUAGUUGAAGUCCUUGAUUUUCCAAUUUAAAAGUUUAGGGGGGUAAAUCAGAAGUUAGCUAAAAAUUCAAGAGGAAAUCGGCAGUUUACUCCUCAAAAAUAUUAAAAUGCAUACUCUUGAGAUAAAAUGGUGUAAAAGUUUGUAAAUAUUAAGUGUUCAUUGUUGAUCAUGUAUUACUUUAAGAGUUGCUUUUACAUUUUUUUCUUUUUAUUUUGUAUUGCAUACUUCAAAAGUUGAAAAUACCAUCCGAUAACACUCAACGAACUUCAUUUCAAGUUAUUUACCUUUUUUUGUCACUUAGUAUUAAAGUUUAGUGAUACUUUUUUCCAUUUAUACGUAAAAGGUCUUAAGUUGGAUUGUCACAAAAAACGAAUUCAAACUAAAUUAAUAUAGCUAGCUCGUCGUGAGGUUUAACCACUCAUCCACCAAAAAAGUUAUAUACCGUCCUUAAGCUCUCUAAAGUUCUCAUUUUUUAAGGAUCUUUAAUUUUAACCCAAUCAAAACCUUUCUCAAAUUUGAUAUAUUUUGGAAUAAGUAGUCCAGACUUUAGACUUUGCAUUGCAGUUUUUGUUAUGUAAUUAUGAGGAUACAGACUUUGCCUCAUAGUUUCUGUCUUAUUGUAGUCGAACUAGUCACAUCUUAUGUUGAAUUUUAAAAUGAGUAUCGACUAUUUUAAUUAUUCUUCUCAUUUUUUGACUUCAUCAUAUGCCAAGUUUGUGAUGCAAAUUUUGUAUACGACUGAUUUGACAAAAUUUUACCUACAAGAGAACAAACAUUGUUAGUCUAAUUGACAAAUACCUCGAAAUAAAUUUGGAAGGUGUGCACCAAAGUGUAUACGAUGCCUAAGUAAGAAAAGUUGUAAAGAGAAAAGAGAACUUAAAAGACUUCUGAGUAGUAAGUGGUUACUAUGGUUUUCUCUGUUUAACCUGACUAUUUAUAGAGAUCUGAACCCUAGUAGGUAACUGGGAGGGGAGGUUGCAAACCAUACUAGGCAGUCUUUGAUGGUGCAUGUCAGUCGUUAUAGUCAUGCCAGCUAGUAAUCCUGAAGAUCCCUGUUGUAGGGCGCCUAGCGUAUUGGACACCCAAGGAGAGACUCCGAAGGGUUAGCUUCUUGCCACCAUUGGGUUGGGUAUGGCCCGAUGGCAGGACAUAAUAUGGGCUUGAAGCACCUGUGAUAUGGUGGUGGCCUAAAAGCCUAUUACCCAUAGAGUAGACUAAUGUCACAUUCCCUUGAGGUAAUAUGUGUAUGCUCAAGAUGUUAAGACUGUCAUAGUGAGUAUAUAGUCCACAUGGUAAAACCGUCAUAGGGAGUAUAUACUCCACGUGCCCUCCUAUUAGAUGUGAUUAAUUUAUGUUUCUAUAAAUACCCCACAUAUGCUUGAGUUUAAGUGGGAAACAAAAAGAGAUGUAGUUCCUAUUUGUAGAUUUUUUUUUUUGUCUUUCUUUAAGGAUUUAGCUUAAAUAAGAGAUAACCCUUGCUGGAAUUCUCACAGAUUCCUUACUUUAAAAUUCAGGCUUUGCGUAGAGAAUUCAUAGAGAAAAUUUCAAGUAUGAAAAAUUUCCCCCUUCUUCUUCCCGUCCUCGAUGAUGUUGCCUCAACUCAACAUGCCUAGUCUGUUGCUGCUUGCUGUGCGUGCUGAAGCGCGCAGGUGAAGCCGGAUAACUAUGGAGUUAGGGUGCGACUUGAAUGCGACUCAUUGUGCAAUCGGAUCACGAGGAAAUCGUAGAUAUGGUCCCUUAACUUUAACUUAAUUGGAGCAAUGAUCCCUCAACUAAAAAUCCAUUACCAUUGGUCUCUCAACUCAUCAAAACGUGCAGCUAUGGUCCCUCAACUAAAAAUCCAUUACCAUUGGUCCCUCAACUUUAAUUCAACUUGAUAAAUGGUCCCUUAACUUUAACCCAAUUGUAGCAAUGGUCUUUCCAACAUAACUCGUUUUGACAAAAAAUUUGAUGUAGUUGACGAAAAGGACUAUAAUUACACACUUUGAUGAGUUGAGGGACCCUAAUUAUAUAAAUGGUUAUUCCAACAUAAUUUAUUUUGACAAAAUUUUGACGAAAUUGAUGAAAAGGACUAUAGCUACACAUUUUGAUAAGUUGAGGGACAAAAUGGUAAUGAUUUUUUUAGUUGAGGGACCAUUGCUACAAUUUACUCAUCGGACCACUAAUUGGGUCGGUUCGGCUAUAGAAUUUUUUUUCGAAUUUGACUGUUCUUCCGAAUUCAAUCCAACAUCAAUCCAUCUCCAUCAUUAUUAUCAACAAAAGCCAUAUUGGAUUAAAUUAAGAUCUUGUGAGCAAUUUUUGAAAUUUCUUCGUUUCUUUGGUAGGUAAAGCAAGAUGUUGUCUUCCAAGAAAUCAUGGAAAUCAUACAUCACAAAGAUGCGUGACAUCAAGUUAGAUAGAUAGAUGGACAGUUUCCACUUCAUUUCAUAUUCUAGUCGAUGUAACUAUGUUUGAGUUUUCAACACAUUACUUCUUAAUGUCAGCUCUUGUAUAGAAUAGAUUCUGAUCAAGCGGAAAAAGCCCUAUGUUAUUAAUAAGCUAGCACGCCCCUUUCUUUCUCCAAGUCAAGUUUCUCACUUGUUAGUCUUACCCUUACCUUUAUUUAUGGGAUAUUUGAAGAAUCACAUGUUUGGAAGUUAAUCAAACCCCAACUCUCUCAUUUCACACCCUUAUUAACAGUGCUAGGGUUAUUGAUAAACCCUGCGCAAAUGUCCUAUUCUUCAACAGACUAUCACCUGGGGCAAUGUAGAACCUUGAUUGAACCUGAAGCAGCACACUACAUUGUAGACUUUUAUGAAAUAGGAUGCAUGUGAGCGGGCAUUUCAAAUUUUUUGUUCAGAGGCUGGCUAUAUAUUUCUAACGUGCCCUAGGUCAAUUGUGACCUGAUUUCUACUGCCUUCCACCAAUGCCGCCACCAUCACCACAUACAUCAACCUAGCCACCAUGGCAACCAACAAUUCCCUUGUUUGAACCACCAUCACUCCCACCACCCCAAUAUGUUAAUUGCAUCCAAAACCUCUCACUAUCAAUGCUACCACCACCAACCUUCACCAUCAUCGUCAGCGCCACCACCACUCUGCUACCAUUACCACUCUCUCCACCACUCCCACCACCAAUGUCGUUUCCCUUCCCACAUUGCCACCAUUUAUACCCUACCAUCAUCGCACUGUCAUUGUCAUCACUACUACCACUAUCACCAUCACCACAGGCACCCUAACCAUCGUGGCCACCAACACCAUCCCUUAUGCAACCACAAUUUCAUCGUCACCAUCGCCACCAGCUUCAAAUUUAUACUACAAUACAUUAUUAUCAAAAUCAAAAUUACCGUUAGACCUACUCUAACCCUUGGAGUAAAACUCAAAUUUUAGGUUCUAAACUUACUUCAACCCUUGGAGUAAAACUCAAAUUUUAGGUUCUAAACUUACUUCAACCCUUGGGGCAAAUAUGAGUUUUAACCAAAAGCUCAUUUUUGAGGCAAAUUUAGCCCAUGAUUCCCCUGGGUUAGUGGGGCUAGGCCACCAUAUGUGUGUAUUUUUUGUAGUUUUAUAUUUAUAAAUUCAUUGAAUCCAACGAUUAAGAUCUAAUAUAAUCGAAUCCAACGUUAAAAGAAAAUAUCUAUUAAAUCCAAUAGCUAACGUAAUUAAAAAAAAAUUAUGUGUUUCAUAUUCUUUCAUAGUGUUCCACGAGUUUCAUAGUGUAGGUUUGGUGAUUUUUUAAUAUUCAUCGGAAUCUAAAUAUUUUUAGUUUAAAAUGUUUAUAAAUUAAAUUAAGAUAAUCUACAUAAUUUAAAAAAAAUUACUUUAAGAAAAAAAAUAUCCUAAAUUUAUUCUUUAAUAAUUUCGGGCUAAAAAUUUAACCCAUAAUGGUGAGAGGAGAAAAACUGACACACCCCGACCCGGAAUGUCCACUAAGACUUUGAAUCGAGCUACACUGACCGACACCUGGGAGGUGACGAAGCCAUACAGUGUUAUGAUGUGGGAAAAUGUGAAUAAAAACUUAAGAGUGCCUAAAUACCAGAGUGCAUAGGUGAGCGGGAAUGAACCCACUUCACACAUGACGUUAGAGCAUAAGUAAGUACAAUUAAGAAUCGUACCCUUGAAAGAAUCUCCAAUACUAAGAAUUGCCACGAACCUUCGACGAUAAGAAAGCUCAGCUAAUAAAACCUGGAUGGUGAAAACAAGACAAGGGUGGGUGGCCUUAGAAAUAACAUUUUAAUAGAAACCGUAUAAAACAUUAUAACCCCUCGUUACAACACUUAUAUAGUUUCCAGAAAAAUCAUACCACGUAUCAAUGUGAAAUCAAAAGUAUAUCAACAGUAAAUCCAUAAAUAUACCACAACACCGCAUUUUAUCAGCAAUAUCAAUAAUCAUGUGAUUAAUAAUCCAUACUAGCACGCAAGUCGGAGUCACCUAUAGUGACCUGUACGACUGCACCCAUAUCUCAUCAAUCAAUGCUAGCACAUAAGUCGGAGUCACCUAUAGUGACAUGUACAACUUAUCCAUAUCUCAACAAUCAAUGCUAGUUCAUAAGUUGGAGUCACCUAUAGUGACUUGUACGACUUAUCCAUAUCUCAUCAAUCAAUGCUAGCUCAUAAGUUGGAGUCACCUAUAGUGACCUGUACGAUUUAUCCAUAUCUCAACAAUCAAUGCUAGCUCAUAAGUCGAAGUCACCUAUAGUGACCUGUACGACUUAUCCAUAUCUCAUCAAUCAAUGCUAGCUCAUAAGUCGGAGUCACUUAUAGUGACUUGUACGACUUAUCCAUAGCUCAUCACAUAUCCCUGCACACGAGUCAGAAUCAUCUAUAGUGGUCUGUACGACAGGAUUUUGUGUAAAUAAAUACGCUUCAGUGCUACGAUCACGUGAAGACUGUGAGAAUAAACGCGGGUCACCAACGAGUUGGAACCAUCUAUAGUGGUCUGUAUGACAUGAUUGUGCACCUACCUUGGAUCUAAGGUGAGCGUAAGGUGCGGGAGGUGAACAUCACGUGAAUGACUGUGCCUUGGCCACGGGCGGGAGCACUAACACCGGGGUGCAGGUUUAUGAGCUUUACUUGCAUCUAUUAUAUUAUGUACGCCUCAUGGGCAACCUGUACGACAGUGUCGGAGUUGCCUAUCAUUGCAAUAUGUACGACAAGGUCGGAGUUGCCUAAAACAUACACAUAGUCAUGCCAUAACUCCCUCAUUUCCACUAAUACCAUAAACUCACCUGAACUUACCUGGGUGUCCUGUGUUCACCUUUGCACUUCAAAACGUUCAAAAUAAUUACAAGCAAUAAAUAUACAUAUAAAUAUACCAUGAUGCAAUCUAAUACUCAAUCAUGUCAUAGCAUUUACAAUUAUAUAUAUAUAUAUAUAUAUAUAUAUAUAUAUAUAUAUAUAUGUAUAAUAUGGCAUAAAAUGCAUAAGCUGUAACACCCUACUCCCGAACUAUUUAUUUUCGGAAAUAAUAUGGCUCAACUAAACAUUAAUUUAACUAACUAUCAAUAGUUAGGAUUCUUUACUUCAAUUUCUCAAUCCUUCACACAAUGAUUUAUAACCAACAUCCCAUCACUAAAUCAUAAGGAUAAAUCUCACAUUUUCCACCAAUGUCCCUCACAUUGCACAAUUUCCCAAAGAAGGCUAUUGUCUCAAUUAAUUAGUCUCAUUUAUAGUAUGGCUGCAUCUAACGUCUCGUUAGACUGCCUACGUACCCUAACAGGGAUCAAGCCAUUCGUAGUUCGCAUUACUACUUCAAAGCAUUCACAGUAAUUAUAUGCAAUAAUCAAUUUAUAAACAUUUGUGGAAUUGUCAAUCAUAUAUAUAUAUAUAUAUAAAAUAUACGAUAGAAAGGAAAAGACCCACUCACCUGAGGUCCGCGCUACGACUCCCUAGCAUGCAUAUCGAGACAUCACGAACUAUCGUUGCCUAUGACCAAUUAUCAAAUCACAUCUCAGAGUUCUGACCGAUGGAAUACAUAAUUUACAUAAAACACAUCACUACGUAAUUCAAUUUGAAAGAUCUGCAUCACAUAUUUCUGAUCCGUUGCUUCCAAAGAUCCACAUUAUACUUUUAGAACAACAUCCUACAGUUUCAUUAAGAUCCAACGGUCAGAUCUCCGCCAAUUGCCAAAACCAAAUGGUGGUCAACAUUUUAUUUUAUGAACUUAUAAAUCCAAUUCGGAAAGAUCCGUACAUCAAAUUCCCGAUCCAUAAGUUUUUAUGGUCCUCAAAUAUUACGUACUAAUGUAUCAAAGUUUGGUGACGAUCGAACGGACGAAUCAUCGAUUCAUAUAAAUGCCAAGCGAUGUAUCAUAAUGAAACUAAGUUCAAACAAUCAAACCACAUCAUAUGGAUAUCAAUUAUGACAUACAUCUAAUUGAACUUAAAAGGACAUCGUCGGUCCACUGGCUAGGCCGUCGCCGCACGUGCCGCCGCGCGUGGUGGUUGGCCACCACGGUUCGCCGGAAAAUUCCACUAUUUCUAAAAAUUCUCAAAUUUUACAGAAAUGAAGAUCUUAAGAGAUGAACAACUUUCAUACCUACCACGAAGUCCAAAAGUGGACGGAAGAUGGUCAAUUUUUCCCACAAAGCCGGCGGUGCCUAAAACUUCUCGGCGUUGAUUCCUCGUCUACGGUGGACCAACGGGGUCAAGGUUGGUUGGGAUUUGCUCCUGGGAUGAUGGGCUACAAAGCCCAAGUGGUGGCAUAGGCCAUCGCUUUGCUGAUUUGUCAAAAAAUUGAAAAGAGUGGCCAGACACGGUUUUGAUGGGUCGGAUUUUGUGGCUUCGCCCCGCCACAUGUGGUGGUUUCUAAAGGUGGUUCUUGGGUGGGUUUUGUAGAGGGGAAUGAGAGCUUCAAGAUGGUCAUGGUGGGGUCAAAAAACUCCAACGGAGUUUGCCGGAAUCUGCCUUGGAAGAUGGGUGGUCGUAAUGGGUGUGGGUGUGGGUGCACAGAAAGCUGGGAGCUUUCCCUUUUUGGUUUUCCUUCUUUUCCUAAUUUCUGAUUGGGCUGUUGCCCUCUCCCUCUCUCUAAUUGGAUCAUUGUCCCUUUAAUUUAAUUGGUCCACUAUUCUCACCUGGUGGGAGUUCAAAAUUAACUAACAAGUAACCAAUUUCAAAUAUCCAUAACGAUACCGUUAUAAUCCGGACUCGCAAACGGCGACUACGCAAAUACGCCAAAAGAAUAAGUCAUACUUUUUUCUAGACGAUGGUCAACAUAAAUCAAAAUCAUUGCCUCUAAACAUUUUUGUCAAUUCCCUCGAUUAAAAUAAAUAAAAACGAAAUUUUAGGGACGGAUUGUCACAACAAUUGUUUUUGGGUUAUAAAAUUUAAAUUUUAGCCUAAGGGUUGAAGAUGAUUUUAGUACUAGACAUGUUUCUAAUAUUUUCUUUUUGAAAAAUAAUUUUUGAAUUAAACUACCACAAAUUUUCUAUUCAUAAAAUGCAAAAUUCUUUUGUUGUUUCGUUUUGUAUAAUAAAAUUCAUCAAAAAAAAAAAAAAUAUAUAUAUAUAUAUAUAUAUAUAUUUUUUUAAACUUUACGAAUUGCUUCAUACCAUGCCAAGUGUGGUAUGGUUAACUGUUUAUAAACGGUUAUGGGUAUGGGUAUAACCGUUUAUGCAAUUACCCAACGCAUAAAUAGUUAUGCGGGUAUGAAUAUAAACGGUUAUGGGCAAAUAACCGUAGUUACCCGCCCGUCAUAACCAAUGCCCAUCACUACAAGUGUCCCAUGUCCCCAACUCACAUUGUCCAACCAAUUACUAAUUCCCACGUGUCAAAUAAUUCACUCACACUAACAAUCCCUGUCCAAGUAUUUACACCCAAAGUACCUCCUUUCCUUUCGCAUAUAUAUGCCCACAAAUCCCUCAGCCUUAACCCGCAAGGUCGCAAUUCUAUCUCCACCUUUCUUUAAUUAGGGUUUUGUUUUGGUCUUCGUCUCCUCACUUUCUGUUUCUAGGGUUUUGUUCGAUUCGCAAUUACGCAAUCUAGGGUUUUCACUGCAAUUAUCUCUCUAUAAAUAGUAUACAUUGAAAUAUUUCAUCUUUCGGUUCGGAUCCUAUUAGAAUUCUGAUUCCUUCUAUUCUGCAACUGUGAUCGUGGAGUUAGGUUUUCUGAAUCGUUCCUUGUUUGAUUCUUGAAAAGGGUUUUUUAUUUUGGGUUUGAUUUGGGGAAUUUGUGGAGUUUUGGAGAAUUUGAUUGGGGAAACCAUGCCUCCGAGGACGGUGAAGAGAGGUGGGGCGGCGGGAGCGAAGAGGACGACGAGAGUCACCAGGGGGACGCACAAGGCCCAGAACCAGGUCCAGCCUGAGGCUCCAGAUGAGUUGGUGAAGGCCGAGGAUGCGGUGCCGAUGGUGGAAUCUAAAGAGGAUCUCAAUGUUGAAGAGAUUAAGGAGAAGCCAAUUGCGGCGGACAAGCUCGUGGCUGUCGAGGAGAAGCCAGUUGUUGAUGAAAAGGCAUCCGUUAUUGAUCAGUCAGGGCCUUCAGAGAUGGAAGUUGAAGCGAAAGCAGAGCAGAAAGGAUUAAAAAGUAAGUUUUGUUUUCAUUAUGUAAUUUUGUUGGGGCUUGAUUGAAUUAAGUAAUUUGCUCUUGAUUUUCCACUGCUCUAUGUUUUUGCAUGAUUUUAUAUAUGUUUUAAGGGACUGUGGUAAUAAUGCUUAAUCUUUUGUCUAUAAUGUGGUUUUUGUUGUGGUAAAAGGGGUAGAGAAUGAGUAACAUUUUCUCAAUCAAAUUUCUUGUAUAUUUAAUUUUCUGUUAUGUGGGAUGUUGUAUAGAGCUUAGGGAAACAAUAAAACCAACUAAGGGAAAUAAUUUAGAAAGAUUCCGAAGAAUAAAUGUCUACACAGAAAUCCAUUGAGGAAUACGUUUUUGUAAAUCUGGUAAUGCUUGCUCUUCCAUGCACUUUGGUGGCUUUAAAUAGAAGUGGCCAACUUGUUCUUUCAAGAACAAUUAGUUCUUGAGUGGAGCGUAGAAGUCGGUGUGAGCGUAGUGGAUUGUUAACUUAGUUCUUGCUCGGUUAUGUGUCAAAAAGUUGGUUAAUAUAUGGAUCAAGGAUGACAGUAUAAACAGUGUAAGCAUGGAUCAUACUCUUUCCUCUUUGUUUUUAGCUCAGACUGGUUUAUGUGAAGAGCAUAGACGGGAAGUUUAAACCUUCUAAGUGGGAUCAUACUGUUGUGACUGAGUUUUGGAUCAAUUUUGUGUUUAGACAUUGUUUCAUAUGCAAGCAUUAAGUAUAGAAUGACACUUCAGGCAUUGUAAAAGUAGAUCAUGCCUUUUUUUGGGGAUCCGUUAUGUAUUAAUAUAAUCAUGGUAUUCUUUGUACUGUGUUUAUCUGCGAUGGACAAGGACCGUCUUAAUUAAAUUAUGAACUCUGCUUGAUCAUAAUGUAGAACUUGAGUCUCUUUUAACUUAAGGUAUUGUCAACCGUAAUUUAUCGCAGAACAAGAUAAGGUUAAGGAGUCUAUAGAUGAUUAUGAAAAAGAUGAACAAUUAGAGCUGGAGGAUAAUGAAGCUGAGUAUGAACCUGAAGAAGAUGGUGGGGUUGAUUAUGAUGAGAAGGAAAUGGAACAAGAGGAUAUCCAGGAGCUCGGGGAUGAAGGAGAUGAAGAACCUGAGGAGAUUGUAGGUGAAGAAGAAGGUGAUAUGGCUGAGGAAGAGUUGGAAGAUGGCCACGAAGAACUCGAGGGUGAAGAGUUUGAGGAGCAUGCUAGCGAGGAGCAUGAGCAUGAGCAUGCAGAGAUGGUUGACGAGGAAGAGGAGCACCAUGAAGUUGUAAAGGAGAGACGGAAGCGCAAGGAGUUUGAAGUAUUUGUUGGUGGUCUAGACAAGGAUGCAAGUGAGGCUGAUCUUAGGAAAGCUUUUGCUGGUGUUGGUGAAGUUACUGAGGUCAGGCUGAUGAUGAACCCUCAGACUAAGAAGAACAAGGGAUUUGCGUUCUUGCGUUUUGCAACUGUGGAACAAGCAAGGCGAGCAGUUGCGGAGCUUAAACAUCCAGUGGUAAUCUUUGAUCCUUUCGUAGUUCGAGCAGAAACUGGUUUCUUCAUAUAUUAAAUUCUAUUCUCUGAAUGAUUGCAAUUCCAGAUUAAUGGAAAACAGUGUGGUGUUACUCCAAGUCAAGACAGUGAUACUCUUUUUCUGGGUAACAUAUGCAAGACAUGGACAAAGGAUGCUGUAAGUAUAUUGGCUUACAUCAUUUCAAAAUUCUCUGACUUAUCAGGAGAUGAUUAAAAAUUUCUGACUUCUUUUGAUGGCUGUGGUUUCAGUUGAGAGAGAAGUUGAAACAUUAUGGAGUAGAUAAUGUUGAGGGUCUGACAUUGGUUGAAGAUACUAACUAUGAGGGAAUGAAUCGAGGCUUUGCUUUUUUGGAAUUUUCUUCUCGUUCAGAUGCCAUGGAUGCUUUUAAGCGACUUCAAAAAAGAGAUAUUGUGUUUGGAGUUGAUAGGCCUGCAAAAGUUUCUUUUGCAGAUUCCUUCAUUGAUCCUGGUGAUGAAAUCAUGGCACAGGUAACGUAAAUUUUCUGCUAUAUUAUAGGAACAAUAGGAUUCCUGGAUGGGUUAUCUUUCUGAUGAUCUGUUCUUGUGUUUUGGUGUAUGAACGUAUACAAAGGUCCUUGUAACAUCAAUUUUUUCCAUGAGUGUAUGGAGUCCUGGAUAAAUUCUCUGUUGUGCUCUUUUUUUAUGUUAUGGGAGAUGAUAGAGUUACAAUAUGCCCAUUGAUGUUCUCUUGUACAAGUAAUUUUUCUAGUUUGUUGACAAAUUAGCAUAUAGCACCUGUAACAUGUUGAAUUAGAUUCUUUGGAGUUGUUUUUUGGGUAGCAUUAUCUUAAUUUCGUGUUACUUGUUUUCUAAAAUCUUGUUAAUCUUUUCUCCUCAAUUGACUAUGAUAAAGUUAGUUAAGUAUGGGAAAGCAAUUGUGAUUGUGUUUCUUUGAUAUAGUGUUAUUAUGCAGUUUAGAGGAGUUUAGGUGAUUGUUGGAGCUGCUGACUAAAUAUCUUGAGAUGCAGGUCAAAACUGUGUUUGUUGAUGGCCUACCUGCUUCAUGGGAUGAGGACCAUGUCCAAGAUCUUCUUAAGGAAUAUGGGAAUGUUGAAAAGAUUGAGCUUGCGCGGAACAUGCCCUCUGCUAAGAGGAGAGAUUUUGGUUUUGUUACAUUCGACACUCAUGAGGCUGCAGUUACGUGUGCUAAAAGCAUUAACAAUUCAGAGUUAGGUGAAGGAGACAACAAGGUGUGUUGGCUGGUAACAGUUAUUUCAAAAUUAGACAUUACCGAUGAAAGUAUUUUAUGUAUUGGCAUUUGUUGGACAUGAAUUUAUGAAUAAUCAUCGUCACUUUUAGGCGAAAGUCAGGGCGAGGUUAUCAAGACCGCUCCAGAGGGGUAAAGGAAAACAUGUUGGGCGAGGAGAUUAUCGAUCUUCUAGGGGGGUUGGACGAGUUGUUAGAGGUUCAUGGGGUCACCCAGCACCACGCCCUCUCCCUCCUAUGCGUAGUGGGUUAAGGGGAGUUGGAAGUCGAAUCCCACCAGCCAGUGUAAAGAGGCCUGUUGCGCUAAGAGAUAGACGCCAUGUGAUGUCAUCUUAUCCACAAAGAGGCAGGCCUUUGCCUCCUCCAUCUAGGUCCUAUGACAGGAGGCCACCUGGUAUGCAAUAUUUUAAUUUAUAAUGGCUAAUGGGUUGUGUGACAACUUUUAUCUUGUGAAUAAUAAUAUUCCUAUACUCUUUCUAACAGUUCCUGCGUACCCAAAGAGUAGCUUCAGGAGGGAAUAUAGCAGGCAUGAGGACCUUCCUCCUCCAAGGAGUAGAGCAGCCCCUGAUUAUGGAUCAAGGGCUGUUCCAGAAAGACGCCAAUCGUACAGAGAUGAUUACGCUCAGCGUGGUCCUGCCUACUCUGAUCCACCAAGAAGUACAUCUCGUACAACAGGAAGGAGAGCUUAUGUUGAUGAAGGUUACGGACAGCGGUAUGAAAGGCAUCCUCCCCCUCCUCCUCCUCCAAGUUACCGUGAAGGUCGUGCUCGUGAUUAUGACACUAUUUCUGGUUCAAAACGUGCCUACUCUGCACUGGUUAGUGUUAAUGACGUCAUUUUCUAUAGCUGGAAAUGUAAUUUACUUGGUUUUCUCUGGUAGGAUAUGAAAUAGGGCUUACAUUCUUCUUCCAUGUGUUCUAGGAUGAUGUUCCUCCCCGUUAUGCUGAUGCGGGCAUCCGCCAAUCAAGGGCACGGUUAGACUAUGAGUAUGAAAGUGGUUCGUCUCAAUAUGGUGAUGGCUAUAGUGACAGGUUUGUUCCUUGAAUUGUAACAUUAACUUUUUAUUAUCUCGUGUGGAUGCAGCAACUUACCUUUUGUUGUGUAUGAUAGACUUGGGAGAUCUAAUAUGGGAUAUGGAAGCAGCAGAACAAGUCAGGAUUCUCAUGGACUAUACAGCAGUCGUCAGGGCAUGGGCUAUGGAGGAGGUGCGAUUGUAAUUUCUGGUUAUCUGAUAGAUAGUAGUUUUAUUGUUGAAACCAUAGAAUUAAGGGUCUUAAGGUUUUUUAAUUUCUUUUUCAGGUUCUUAUGGUGGUAGUGACGUUGGUGGAAUGUACUCAUCCAGCUAUGGUGGUGAUUAUAUCUCUCGUGGCAGUGACGUAUGCACCUAAUCUGAUUUGAUUAAAUGAAAAUAAUAGGUGUUCCAUUUAGCUGUCUCAUAUAUCAUUAUAUCUUGAUUCUCUAUUGUAGGUUGGAGGUAGCUCUUACUCAUCAAUGUACUCUGGCCGUGGUGCGGGUGGAAGCAGUUAUAUGGGUUCAGGUGGUUCUGGCUCAUACUAUUGAGGUAAUUUAGAUUGUUGUGUUUUUCAUGUUUUGUUAAGUUUCAUGUGUGUGUAAUUAUGAGAGCGAUGCGUGUGUCAUUAUUACUAUUUUCCGGCUGGAGAUUUAUUUUCUUCCGAAGGCACGACAUCUCGUCUUUGGCUCUAAGAGGUCAUUGGUGAAAACAGAGCAAUAUAUGGUUACAAGUGAAUUUGUCUAUGGAACAGAUCUGACAUGAUGAAGAGGAUGCUGUGGGAUGUGGACUGUAUGAAGCUUUUUACCAUUAUGAUGCCUAGAGUUAUGGACACAGAAUUUCCCUAAGAACCUAUGUAUGUGCUGAGGAGCCGCCCUCUUAGAUUUCCAGAGAUUGGAUAUUGUGCCAGGCUGUAGUUAUUUUGCUGCAAGGAAACUCAAGAUAUUCGGAGAUGCAAGUGCUUAGUUUAUGACGUGUCUUCUACUUCAUCUACUAGAAGAACUCCACCUGACGGAAAAUUUGGAGUCCUGCUGCAUCCUUUGUUCGUAUGAAUAGAUAAGACUAUAACAAGAGAAAGAGGAUUUUCUUAAUGUGAUUAUAAGGUAUUUUGGAUAUUUUUAAUGCUGAAUCCUUUGGAAAGGUUUGAAUAAUAAAAGCCGUUUUGGCCGUUUUAGAUCGCUUAAUCAAUUCAGUUCCAUAUCGUUGAGUGGGUUAUCACGGAACUGAAGGCUAUAAGGAAAGAUUCAGCUUGCUUGGAAUUGUACGAGAUUGUGGUCCAAAAAGGUAGACCUGGAAUCUGUUGCCUGGUGUGUACAGUUUUAGUUACCGCGUGAUUUAAAUUUGCAUUUUUGACAUAUAUAUUGAUAUUUAAGGAAACAUAUUGGGAAAUUACAAAGAAGAAUGAGUAGGACUCUAGUUCAUAAAAUUAUCUUACAUUGCUUGCUAAAAUCUCGAUUGAAGUAUUAUUCUUAAGUUCCUUGCAACCUCUACCAAGAACUGUGAGAGUCACCUGAGAGCAAAAGUAGGACUGAAAAACACUGAAAGAACACUCUUGCUACUGUUAUCUGGAUUGCAGAAAGUCGGUAUUUGUAAAGAAGGGAUGCAAUUGGCAAGUAUUCCACUUUGUAGAAGCACGUCUUAAUGUGGAAUAUCCCAUACUAAGUGUGGGUGGAUCACUUUGGCACGUUCACGGAGUCUAAAAGUUGGUUGUAUCUUUACGAGCAAUUCUCGCAGAUUAAAAGCUUGUGGAACUUGGAGGUAACUAGUACCUGAGUUGAGUCCUUGUCCUUGUAUUGUUCAUUAGGGCUUGUUAUGGUCAAGAUAGCUUAAAUCUUCUCAAAUCCUUUCGAUCAACUCAUUUUGAUUGCUUUAGCGUAUCCAAGGACUAGUUGCUGGUUGGAAGUUGUUUCACUUGAGCGGUUUUACUUUGAUAUGCUUUUGAUACAUGCCAGUAUCCUAUCGAUGUUCGGAUGCAACUGAAUGCUGGAUUGAAUUUUAAUGGGGUGCCAUAUACUUUUUGUUAUUCGUGUUCACUAGUGAAAUACGACAACCUGAUUGUGUGGAAAACCUAGACAGUCCUCGUUGUAAUGGGCAACGUAUUGUAUUUGGUAUAAAAUUUGCAGGACUCUCUCUCUAUCUCUCUCUCUCUCUCUCUCUCUCUCUCUCUCUCUCUCUCUAGAUUGGGAUUGGGAUUGUGAUUGUGAUUGUUCUAAAGGAAGAAUGGUUGGAUGUGUUUUUUUGUACAGGUAAAAUAAGAAUUUAAUGAAUGAAACCUAAAUACCGCGCCUUCUGGUGCGAGUCAUCCAGUAAAAUGAGAAAUUCAUUGUCAUUGUAAAACUGAAGGACGUUAAACAUACUAGUCGUAUAUAAACCACAAUUUUUGCGCGUCUUGUACGCUUAUCUAGUUCUAUUUCGAAAUUUUGUAGUCAAGUUUGUAAUCGCUUCUAUUUUUGGAUUGUCCUCUUGGAAACCUUAACAAACCUUCGAUGGCUUAAUGUAGAGCAGCAAUUAAGAUUUGGUAAUAAACACUCCUGCUUGGGUUUUAGACGUAGGAAAAAGAACUGCUUUAAACAAUUGAAAAAAAAAGUAUUUAAGUAACAAUCUCUAAAUCGAACCUAAGAUCUCUCACUUACAAGUGAAAAGGAAUAUCACUAGACCGUAGUACUAAGGGACUGUUAUCUUAGAUGCAAAGCGUUCAUCUUCUAUAUAUAGGGAGCACACCAGUUUUGUGAAGCUUUUAUAAUAGGAAGCUUUAUAUAUAGAGAUAAAAACUUUCAUUAUAUUUUAAGGAAUUCCAUUAGUUUUUAAAUAUGUCAAAGAGAGACAAAAAUAUAAAAAUGACUAAAGCGUAGCCCAAAAACAUGGAAACAAUAUUUUAAAAUACCAGUCAUACCCCUAAGGCUUUAGGAUUGUUAAAAGAACCUAGCCUUCACAACUCCAACAAAACUAAUUGUGCAGUAAGCUCAAUCCAUCAUCAACUAUUUCUGCAGAAUUAGUUCAACCUGUCCUUAACAAUUUUUGCAGAAUCAGUUCCAUCUAUCCCAACCAUUUUUGUAGAAUCAGUUCAAUCACUCUUUGACCAUUUUUGCAAAUUUGUUCAACCCUUCAUCGAUUAUUUUUGCAGAAUCAAUUCAAUCGGUAUUCAACAAUUUUUGCAGAAUUAGUCACCCAUCCUCGAUUAUUUUUACAAAAUCAGUUCAACCCGUCAUCGACCAUUUUUGCAGAAUCAAUUUAAUUAGUCUUCAAUUAUUUUUGCAGAAUCAGUUCAACUUGUCAUUGAUCAUUUUUGCAGAAUUAGUUCAAUCAGUCAUCGACUAUUUUUGCAGAAUCAGUUCUACCCGUCUUCGAUUAUUUUUACAUAAUCAAUUUCACUUGUCUUCGACCAUUUUUGCAAAAUCAGUUCAACUGGGUCGACGUCUGCUACUUCAAGAUUAAGGACUUGGCCGAGAAGUUUGCCAUCCUUCACUUUGGUAUUUGCCCCUUUCGUUGGGACUUCUUUAGGGGUUCUUGAUUGCUCAUCCAUAUGGGUCUUUUGCUUCUCCUUUCUGGUUUUUUGUUUCUGCUCUGUAUAACUGUCAAUAAAGUGAAGCAGAAAAUAAAGUACAAAAAUUUAGGAAUUUGCACCUGCAACACGACUCAGACAUCGAAUCAAUGAAAGAAGAGAGAAAUUAGAACAAAAUUGAAUUGGGUGUUGGAGGCUUCUCGUCGAUUGCCAAUCUUUCAAGCUCUGCUCCAACUUCCUCUUCGGCCUAAUAUUAAGAGAGGAAGAAAGAGAAGGGAGGAACAGAUGAAGAGAUGGAAUUGUGAAAAGACUUUACCACUAUAAAUAGCACUUUUGUAACUGACACUCUAAAAAGAAAAAGACUAAUGUCAUCUUUUACAUGUAUUAACUUUUAUCCCUCUUAAAAUGUUUAAAAAAUAUUAUCUCAAUUUAAAAUUAACUUUCCAUAUGUGGACUAAACUUGUGAUUUUCGAAUUGCGUCUAACUUUUUCAUUUAUAAUUUUCCUAACUUAAAAGUUUGAAAUAUCAAAUUUACACAUGCAUUUGCCAAUGUAAAUAAUUUUCGAAGUGCCUCACGUGCCCUGCCCACUGCCCAAGUGUUAUACAAAUUAUUUUCCAUUUUUGACCUAGCUGGGAUCAACAGUGUUUUCAUCAUAUGACUAAGCUGUAAUUUACAAUAUUUUCUUAACAAAACUAAUGAAAAAAGUUUGAAAACUUUGCGUUUUAAUGAUAACGACAAAAUAAAGGGUAAAGUGAAUAGUACCAGAAUUGACUUUAAAAAGUGUACUUUAACGAAAAACUCCUAAUACUGUUCAUUUUUUAUACUUUUUAUACUUAAUUUUGUAUUAAGAUAGCAGUUUUUAAACAUUUCAAGAAAAAAUAAAACUUAAUACAUGUGUAAGAUGAUAUUAUUGGUUUUAUUUUUCUUUGAAGUGUGAGUUAACAAAAUGGCCUUUAUACAAUAAAUCAACCGUUGAGAUUUAAUUCUAGCAAAACAAUUGCAAACUCCAUCAUGCCAACCAAAAAGCUCCACCGCUUCCCUCUGCCAUCUUAUCCACUCAUAUGUUCCAUGGCUGCUUCUGCAUCAACCCAAAUGCUCUGUCCUCUUCCACCAUCCAUGUGGGUUCAUCGCCAUCUGAUAACCAGUCAGAAAAAUUGGUUGGUUUCUGACCUAUUAUCAUUUUAUUUCCUCUAAAUAGUAAAUUUAUUAAUUUUGUAAAAAAAAAGAGGAAAUUUUAACGAAAAAAAACUCUCGGUAAUGUCCACUCUAAUGAAAAAUUAUAUUUUUACACUAAAAAGUCAAUCAUAUACUAUUCAUUUUACCCUUUAUUUUGUUUUUAUCAUUAAAACUCAAAGUUUUUAAUCUCUUUUCAUUAGUUUUCAUUUUAAAGAAAGCUUUAAUUUUUUAUCAAACGAUAGAUUUUGUUAGUAAGUUAAUUAUUUUUCAAAAUAUAAUAAUAAAGCAUAAUAAUAUCUAAACUAAAUAAAAUUAAAACCAAAAACAAAAAGGUAAAAUAAUAUAAAAGAACCAUAUAAUGAAGGGUUGAUCUUCCCAAUUCCCAACAACAUAAAAGUUAUAGCUUAUUUCAAACUAUACCCCUAAUGUUUGGGGUCAAUUACAAAAAGGACUCCUCUUUUCAAUUUACUACUUAAGAUUCACAAACAAAUAAAAAUAAAAAAAAUUAAUACUUAAGGUUGUAAAGUUUUGGGGAACUGCCAAAUUAGGGCUAUAAAAUCUCCAAUUUUGGAGUCAUAUUGAAUCAUGCAAUAUUAUUUUGAAGCCAAUUUGAUUCUAGUAUGCCUUAUAAAGUAACGUAGGUGGUGUAUUUCAACAGUUCAAAGAGACAUGUGGUAAAAAAUAAAAAUUAAAAGUUCAAGUGGUAUUGUAGACAUUGAAAUUUUGGUGGCAUAAAUGUUAGCGCUUGCAUUAAGAUUACAUUUGUAAACAUUGAAAUUUUAGUGAAAUAAAUGUUGACCAUUGUGUUAAAACUACAACCUUCAUCCAAAUUCACCUACAACCCCCACCCAAAUUCACCUACAACAACCAAUCCAAAUUCACCUACAACCUCCACCCAAAUUCACCUACAACAAUCCAUCCAAAUUCACCUACAACCUCAACCCAAAUUCACCUACAACAAUCCACCAAUUCACCUACAACAUACACCAAAACAAAUGGAUGGUGGUGGUUCAUUCUCAAGGCCUAUAAAUAGGCUCCUCCAUCAAAGAAUCAAAGGAGGAUUUUAGAUACACUUUCUCUACUCCCAAAUUGGAAGAGAAAUCACACCACACCAAAGCCUUGAAGCCUCGAAACUCUGAAGCUCUCAAGUAAAUCCCGAAGGAUCAAGAAAGCCCUAUCUGUUCUUCGUGAAAUCCUCCUUCAAGAUCAAGCUCCAACGCCCCUUGAAGAACUUCCACCCAUUCAAGAUCAAGCCCCGACGGCCCUUGAAGAAGGUGUUCAUCAUUCAUCAACUGUUCGUCCAAGAUCAAGCCUCGACGGCCCUUGGAUCAACAACACUACAUCUACACGUUUCAAAGAUAGAAUCAGAGGAUAAAUUUGUAGAAGAGAUUGUAACCCCUAAAUCAUUAAUACAAAUAUUAUUUUGGACACGUGUUCUUGUCUCUUUCGUUUCAGGAAUUUCCGUGUUUACAAAUUUGGCACGCCCGGUGGGACAGUCUCUACCUCUCAUCUCUAUCUUUGAAUCCGCAACAAGCACAAAUGGCGUCAAGGAAGGCCCAAGUUGUUCUCGCUGCCAAUGCAAGAAACAAGAGCGUCAUCACGACAGGGGGCAUCACUUCAGGCAUCAUAACUCGAAGUAAGGCAAAAGCUCUUUCCGCCGCCUCUUCCGCCCCUUCAUCAACUCCGCCGAAGGCACAAGAGCACCCGAGGUUCGAACCGGUGAUCACCCUGGCCUCGCUCAGGGCGCCAAGAGAGGAAAGCCAGAGGAAGUACUCUGAAUCCUUACUUUCCGAUGCCGACUCGAGCAGCGGCAUAGCUAUGCAAGUCAUGGUUACCGGAACAACUUCAAUUGAGGAGCAGCUGGCUCAGAUGAACGAAGCAAUCGCAAAGCUCACAAGGACUGUGGAGGAAAAAGACCUGCAAAUCGCAGCACUUGUUAACCAACUAGAUGCAAAGCCCGAUGAGAAAGCCAGGCAAGGGGAUAAUCCGGUAAAGAAGGAAAACGACGAGGAUGAGGAACCUCCAGUGGAGAACGUCGAAGAGACGCUGAAGCUAGACCAAGCGGCGACACUCAUGGGGUCUCUCUCUCUAUCCAGCAGCUGCAGGAGAUGAUCGCCAACACCAUCAAGGCGCAGUAUGAAGGAAGCUCACAUGAUUCCGUACUAUACUCAAAGCCCUACUCCAAGAAGAUUGACGCUUUGAAGAUGCCAAAGGGCUAUCAACCACCAAAGUUUAUGCAGUUCGAUGGAAAGGGGAACCCGAAGCAACAUAUCGCCCACUUCAUUGAAACCUGCAGCAAUGCUGGAACAGAGGGAGACUACCUCGUCAAGCAGUUCGUGCGCUCGCUGAAAAGCAACGCCUUUGACUGGUACACCGACCUCGAGCCCGAGUCUAUCAGCAGUUGGGAUCAGCUAGAAAAGGAAUUCCUCAACCGUUUCUACAGCACGCGCCGCACCGUAAGCAUGCUGGAGCUGACCAGUACGAAACAGUGGAAGGAGGAACCCGUCGUCGACUACAUCAAUAGAUGGCGUUCAUUAAGUCUGGAUUGCAAAGAUCGGCUCUCUGAAACCUCUGCCAUUGAGAUGUGUGUUCAAGGCAUGCACUGGGGGUUACAUUACAUUCUCCAAGGCAUAAAACCAAGAACGUUUGAGGAGCUGGCAACGCGCUCCCACGACAUGGAGCUGAGUAUCGCCAAUCACGGAAAGAAUGAGCCGAUCACCCACUUCAAGAAGGAUAAGGUGUUCGCCCCGAGUGUGGACAAGACCGGAAAAAAGCCUGCAAAGGAAACUUUUACUGUCAACACUACCCCCAUCAAAACCCCAUCCGCGCCUAUCAAGACCACCUCUGCACCUAUCAAGAUUUCCUCCAAGACCAAGGCAAAGGAGACAAAAAGAAGUGAGCCUCCUCGCACCCAAGACAAGUAUAAAAACACCUUGAGAGAGUUGGAGCAAAAGACGUACCCUUUUCCUGACUCAGACGUGGAUGCAAUGUGUUAGAUGACUUGCUGGAAAAGAAGGUAAUUGAGUUACCAGAGUGCAAGCGCCCUGAAGAAAUGAAUCGAACGAACGAUCCUAGGUACUGCAAGUACCAUCGUAUCGUAAGCCAUCAUGUGGGCAAAUGCUUCGUCCUCAAAGAACUCAUUAUGAAGCUAGCGCAACAAGGGAGAAUCGAGCUAGACCUUGAGGACACAGCCGCAACACAUACUACUACAGUGGCGUUCGGAUCCUUCGAUCCCGUGCCUCUCCAAACGACACCCAACCAUUCCUAUCAAUGUGCAAGCUACACGGCGCCUUCUACACAACCAUCGCCGGGGGCAAACGAACAAGAUGCGUAUACCGAUGAUGAUGAAGGAUGGACAUUGGUGACCUACAAAAAAACAAAGAAACCAAAACCACAAGCCACAAGACCAAAGGUGGAACAAGUGAGAAAACACCGUCGCCGCAACAGUAGGAAGCCUAAAAGAAACGUAAAAGUCGAUAAGCCAACGUAUGCUGGGGAACCCGUGGAGCAAGAGCCACGCAUUCCUGUCUCCUUGCGCGAGUACUUCCCGAAUGACUUCUUCCAACAGUGCACCAUCGCUGCAUGCCAUAUGGUCGAAGUAGAAACGGAAGAACCUUCAAAAAGCAAAGAUACCACCACUGAGGGAGAAAAAACUCUCACGCUCGAAGAAGGUCUGCCAACACACUUUAGCAUUGAGGAAGCGCUACGAUUACCAAAGAAGAUGCGAAUAGCAUUAGCAGCGGCCUUGGAAAGUCCCAAUGAACAUGAAGUGCAAGAAAGCAAAGAACGAAGACUUGAAGCUUCGGCCACAUGAAUGUGCCACAUGUUGUGCCAUAGAGGACGCAAUCCAUUUCACCGACGAAGACUUGCUGCUAGGAUCCAAGCCUCACAACCGUCCUCUCUUCGUCUCUGGGUAUGUAAAGGAGCACACAAAGUCAACCGCAUGCUUGUGGAUGGUGGAUCAGCCAUAAACAUCAUGCCAAAGUCGACAAUGAUUACAAUCGGCAUCAAGGCGGAUGAACUGUCCCUAAGUCGUCUACUAAUCCAAGGUUUUAAUCAAGGAGGACAAAAGAGCGAUGGGCAUGAUCCGAGUGGAGAUGACUAUUGGCGAACUCAAGUCGAGCACGAUAUUCCACGUGAUUGAUGCAAGAACUUCCUACGGCUUACUCUUAGGAAGGCCUUGGAUCCAUGCGAAUGGAGUAGUACCGUCCACCCUUCACCAAUGCUUAAAAUUCUACCGAGAAGGAGUGAAGGUGAUCUAUGGCGACACCAAACCAUUCACUGAAGCCGAAUCACAUUUCGCAGACGCCAAGUUCUACAUGGAUGAAGACAUGGUGCCCGAAGCUCUUCCAAAAGAGAUCAAAUCCACGGGCAAAGCAACACCUAAAAAAGCAGGAACGACAAGCCAUGCCCAAGAAGCAAGAAGAAGAAGUUACGCCGUCUUCAAGCAAGAACGAUAAUGAGCCGGCUAAACGUGCAACAACAAAGGAGAGUAAGACGCCCUCAAAUGGACCAAACACACCCGUCUUCCGAUACAUCCCGAUGUCGAGAAGAAAGAAUGGUCAAUCCCCGUUCGAAACUGGAGCAAACAAAGCCGAUGCACAGAGGUAUAUGGAUAAUGUAAAGUUGCUCAAGACGAAUGCAGUUUUACCUCUGACGCAGCUAGGCGGCACUAAGGUCGCAAGACUACCACAAGGCUUCAUAAAAGCUCUACCAAAGGGGGUGGAACCAAGCUUUCUCCCAACCCAGAGGACCGAAGAAGGUUUUGAUCCAAACGCCUAUAAACUCAUGUCGAAAGCUGGCUACGACUUUGCUUCUUCUUCGAAUCAUGGAAAGAAGGUUUCAAACACCGUUAACAAUAAAGAAACGUGACCUCACCGAGACUCAAAGGAAGUUGAAGAAGCACGGUUACGGAGUUGAUAACAACAAAAGCUGGACUAGGCUUCACACCAAACGCACCCGUGAAGAUUUCAAGCAAAGCGAAAAAUGCUAGCACUCAACACAUCAGCGUGAGUAAUGAACAAGAUCAUGAUGAGCCUAAAUCCACCCCUUGGACGUCAGUCUUCGAUAGGAUGAAUCGUUCAAAACCCAGAAUGUCAGCAUUUAACCGCAUUGGUGGUCAAAACCGAACCUCCGUCUUCAAGAGACUUAACAUGCUAGCAUCCCAAAGCUCUGUUUUUGAAAGGUUGUCAAAACCUAAGAAGCAAAGCAACACGACUAGCUCUCUUCCUCGUCAGUCAGCUUUGGAAAGACUUGAAGACAACAAGAAGUUUUCUAGAAAUAGGAAGACCACGUCAAAGGAAGAAAAGCUCGUCAUGAUAGCAGAAAAAUGUGAUAUUCGAAGCUCAAUUCCUUCAAGGAUGAAGCGCCAAGCAAUCUUUGGAGGUGGACACAAAUGGACCACUAAAAGUAAGAAGGCGCACCAUCAUCCACACUGGACAAUCUUCAUGCCGACCAGCCCAAGAGGACGACACCGAAGAGGAAUUCCAAGAUGUCUUCCACAUCACGAUCCAAGAAAGCGAAGAAGAAUGAGAUCCCCGAAGAAGGUGUCACUGCUGCGCCACCACAACUGGAGGAUGGGGGGCAAUCCACAGUCGAUGAUCUCAAGGAACUCAAACUUAGGCAAAGAGGAGCAGAGACCUAUCUUCGUGAGUGCGUUGCUAAGUGCGGACGAGGUAGACGAGUAUUACCAACUGUUAUCAGAGUACAAAGACGUCUUUGCUUGGACUUACAAGGAAAUGCCCGGCCUUGACCCUGUCAUCGCUGUACAUCAUCUUGCAGUUAAGCCCGGAACGAGACCAAUAAAGCAAACUCAAAGGCGCUAUCGAUCCGAGCUCAUUCCACAAAUUGAGGUAGAGAUUGACAAGCUAAUCGAAGCAGGCUUCAUUCGAGAGGUGCAAUACCCUAAGUGGAUCUCCAACAUCGUCAUCGUCCUUAAGAAAUCUGGACAAAUACGUGUUUGUGUAGACUUUCGGGACCUCAAUGACGCUUGCCCGAAAGAUGACUUUCCCUUGCCGAUCAUCGAAAUCAUGGUGGACGCGACCACUGGCCAUGAGGCACUGUCAUUUAUGGACGGCUCUUCUGGAUACAAUCAAAUUCGUAUGGCUCUCGAAGAUGAGGAACUAACAGCAUUCCGCACUCCAAAAGGUAUCUACUGCUACAAGGUGAUGCCCUUUGGUCUAAAGAACGCUGGAGCCACAUAUCAGCGAGCAAUGCAGAAAAUCUUCAAUGACAUGCUACACAAAAACGUAGAAUGUUAUGUAGACGAUGUGGUGGUCAAAACAAAGAAAAGAUCAGAUCACUUGAAGGAUUUGCGAGUAGUGUUCGAAAGGCUGCGAAAAUACAACCUUGAACCGUUAAAAUGUGCAUUUGGCGUCACCUCAGGAAAGUUUCUCGGCUUCGUUGUCAAGCACCGUGGCAUUGAAGUGGACCAAUCAAAGAUCAAGGCCAUUCGAAACAAUGCCCGAGCCAAGAAACCUGCACGAGCUGAAAAGUCUACAAGGACGACUAGCCUUCAUCAGACGCUUCAUCUCCAACCUUGCAGGGCGUUGUCAACCGUUUAGUCGACUCAUGAAAAAGGAUGUCCCGUUCGUAUGGGACGAAGCGUGCCACAACGCUUUUGAAAGCAUAAAAAAAUAUUUAUCAAGUCCACCUGUCCUGGGGGCGCCUGUGCCCGGGAAACCACUCAUAUUGUACAUCGCCGCUCAGGAAAGUUCAGUGGGAGCACUCUUGGCACAGGAAAAUGAAUUCCAGAAAGAAGGAGCGCUUUACUACUUGAGUCGAACACUCACCGGCGCUGAGUUGAACUACUCCCCAAUAGAAAAAAUGUGCCUUGCCUUGGUGUUUGCCAUCCAGAAGCUUAGACAUUACAUGCAUGCUUACACCAUCCACUUGGUUGCUAAAGCUGACCCGGUUAAAUACGUCAUGUCCAAGCCAGUUUUGACAGGGCGACUAGCUAAAUGGGCGUUGAUUCUCAAUCAAUACGAGAUCAUUUACGUCCCAGCUAAAGCCGUCAAGGGACAAGCAUUUAGCAGACUUCCUUGCCGAUCAUCCAAUCCCAGCCGAUUGGAAAAUCUCAGACGACUUGCCUGACGAGGAGGGUAUUCUACAUUGACAUAUUCCCGAGAUGGACGAUGUUCUUCGACGGAUCUGCACGAGCAGACGGAGCGGGGGCAGGAGUAGUAUUCAUGUCGCCACAAAGGCAAAUACUACCUUAUUCAUUCCAACUAAGCGAAUUGUGCUCCAACAACGUCGCUGAGUACCAAGCACUAAUCAUCGGGCUCCAAAUGGCGAUCAACAUGGAAAAUCACAACCCUCGAGGUAUAUGGCGACUCCAAGCUCAUAAUUAGUCAACUCUUGACUGAAUAUGAGGUGAGAAAAGACGAUCUCGUCCCGUACUUCCGACUGGCAACUCAGCUGCUACAAAAGUUCGAGGCCGUAACACUAGAACAUGUGCCGAGAAAAGAAAAUCAAAUGGCAGACGCUCUCGCUAACCUAGCCUCGAGUAUGACACACUAGGAGAAGACGAAGCGGCAGACGUGCCAGUUUGCCAAAGAUGGGUCAUCCCCCUCGCCACCGAAAUGCUACUAGAUGAUACAAAUGUCAUCUCGGUACUUCCAGUCGAUGUUGAAGAAUGGAGACAACCAUUGAUUGACUACUUAGAGUAUGGAAAACUUCCAAAUGAUCCUAGACACCGCUCUGAAAUACGUCGACGAGCACCUCGCUUCCUCUACUACAAAGAAAACACUCUACCGGCGCUCUUUUCGAAGGAGUACUUCUGAGAUGCCUAGGUGAGGAAGAAGCCAAUCAAGCCAUGGAAGAAGCGCACUCAGGCGUGUGCGGGGCGCAUCAAUCUGGACCAAAGCUACAUUUUCCAGCUCAAAAGAAUGGGUUACUACUGGCCAAGUAUGGUGAAGGAUUGCCUGGAACAUGCCAAAAGGUGCCAAGCUUGCCAAUUCCACGCCAACUUCAUACAUCAACCACCUGAACCAUUACACCCUACAACUGCUUCGUGGCCAUUCGAUGCAUGGGGACUGGACGUCGUGGGACCAAUUACUCCAAAGUCAUCUGCAGGAGAAGCCUACAUCCUAGCUGCAACAGAUUACUUUUCCAAGUGGGCUGAAGCCAUACCCCUAAGGGAAGUAAAAAAGGAAACUGUUGUCCGUUUCAUCAAAGAACAUAUCAUCCACAGAUAUGGUGUGCCUCGUUACAUUAAUCACGGACAAUGGAAAACAGUUCUCCAACCGACUUGUAGACGAGCUCUGUGAGAAAUACAAGUUCAAGCAGCAUAAGUCUUCCAUGUAUCAUGCUCCGGCCAACGGUCUAGCGGAAGCAUUCAACAACAAAACAUUGUGCAACCUCUUAAAGAAGGUGAUCGGCCGAACAAAGAGGGACUGGCAUGAAAGAAUAAGCGAAGCACUUUGGGCAAUAUAGGACGACGCAUAGGACUCCUACCCAAGCUACCCCUUAUUCUCUCGUAUAUGGCGUGGAAGCUGUUUUACCGCUAGAAAGUCAAAUCCCUCACACUUAGGAUGGCUAUACAAGAAGGUUUGACUGAUGAAGAGAAUGCAAAGUUGCGCCUUCAAGAGUUGGAAUCACUUGACGAAAGAAGGCUCGAAGCUCAACAACACCUGGAAUGCUACCAAGCACGGCUAUCCAAGGCAUUCAACAAGAAGGUCCGCCCAAGGUCUUUCCAAACUGGAGAUCUCGUCCUUGCAUUACGAAGGCCUAUCAUCACAACUCACAAGACAAAAAGCAAGUUCACAUCAAAGUGGGAUGGACCGUACGUAAUACAAGAGGUCUACAUAAGCGGCGCCUACUUAAUCAUGGCAGAGGACGGCUUGAAGAUCGGUCCCAUCAAUGGCAGAUUCUUGAAGCGUUACUACCCCUAAAAAGCGACGACCAGACUCCUUGCCUGCAUGAGCCUAAACUGCACACGGCACAAAGCUCCUGGCCCGCAAGAGCAUAAACUGUGUACGGCAAAAUCAUCAUCAAAAUCACUAUAAAAAAAAAAUAAAUAAAUUCAUCGCUCAUUUGAACUACGUUGUGACUUGAUCCCUCAUCAACCGGGGGUACGUAGGCAACUUGAAACUUAAAAAAAACUUCAAGUACAGUCACAUCAUCAACAAAAACACAAAUACUUUGAAGAAAUAAAAGAGCAAAUGCAAGAAGGCGAAUACUUCAAAAAAAAAAAAAAAAAAAAAAAAAAAAAAAAAAAAAAAAAAAAAAAAAAAAAAAAAAAAAGAGAAAAACUACUACGGAGGCGAUCUUGAAGCAAGCCUUCCAAAGUCUUCAAAGUCUCCACCUCGGUCGGAGACAAGGUGGGCAAAUCCAUAGCCAGGCCUUUCUCUUGUUCUAGACGUGAGGUCUCCUCAUGGUGCUGAGAAAGUGUAGCUCUCUGUUCUGCAAGAACUUUUUCAAGUUGUGAUGCUUGAGUUCCCAACUGCUCUCGCUCUCGUACCAACGCAUCCAGACGCACCUGGACGGAAGCUAAAGAAGCCUCUGUGACUUGAUAAUCUCCCGAAGCAACUUGCUGAGAAGACCGGACUCUCGGGCCAAGGACAAGUCUAUCGCUGCAAGCUGUUGAGCUCGAUCAUCUGGGCUCAAUUUCUUCAAGGAAAUAGCGCGCAAGGAAGAAUACUCAGUGGAGGCGGCCAUAAGUUCGGCAAUCUUGUUCCUCAAAGACGAAGAAUCAACAUUAAGGUUGUCAAUCGUAGAAACAAGCUUCGACAAAUCUUCUUCGAGCAAUGAAAGGUCUUCCAGCGAACACUUCGAAAUCCUACUCUCAAUAUGGCUUUUUGACAUCCAAGGCAGCACGAAGUUUGAGGCGAUGGAUAAAUUGCUCGGUACCAUUAAGGUUCGGCCCUCUCAAAGAGAUCGCAGAACUAGCUGGCAAAGGUGCUGGACGUAUGAUGGACUCUUGCACGCCUUCACCUACACACGGCAGGCUUGGAAGAUUGGGCGAAUUUUGAACGAGCUCUUCACCGGGCGGAUCCCCGAUCUCCCCGUCUGUAAGCAGAUCGCCUCCAAGUAGCAUAUCCAUAUAGGAGUGAACACCCGCGGCGGCCAAAUCAAAAGGACAAGAAGGCCCCAACCUAAAGAAGACGAAGAGAGGUGUUAGAAGCAAAAGCUGAAAUAAGAAUAAGAAGUCAUGAGAGAGAAAGAAAAUGCAUACAUCUUUCUCUAGAGACACACGACCAUCGGAUUGGGGAGGCCUAAACACUUCUUUCUUUUUAUGACGAAAAUUGACAUCGCUGUCAACCUGAGCAACUUCAAGUGGUCGUUUGUUUAAAACUUGUUGGCGCUGCCGCAAAACAAGUCCAUCUUCAUACGAAUCAACCUCGUCACCCGCCUCUUCAGAAGCAUCCAAAUGGUGAGGAGAUGAGCACAAACGUUGACGGACUAAAGCCACAGGUCUGUCUUGCAAGGGAGUUGCACUCACACAAUCAAAAGGUACCAGCUGCAUAGGAGUCGCAAACUGCCUUCUUUCAACGCAUCGUGGCGUGAAUGGGAAGAAUUAUUACCACUUGCCAUCCCCAAAUCCUCAUGAUGUACCUUUGACCACCAAUGCGCGUAAACACGAGUCACUGGAUUACCCCUGAACUCGUCCUUGGCUGGCAGGGUGAUAUAAGCAUUCGUAAAUGCACGGGUACAAGACUCCCAAUGCAUGCAUAUACACGGCUUGCAAGGAUUCUGAUUGGGCCUUUUCCUUCAGCCUGCCCGGCACAUUUUGGACAAAACCAAAUUGCCUGUAAAACGGCUAAGGAACGGUACGGCUGAACGACGCAUCGGUUUUCUUGCCGCAAAGAAACAUACGCUGAGCGAAGACUUAUGAGAUAAGACAAAUCUGAAGAGCGAAGAUGCGAAUCAUCCAUGAUGCCUCGCCGUACUGAGCCAACUCUCGCCAGGCGGUCCAUUUUUAAACCUUCACAACUUCUAAACAGUGUUUGAGCCUGCGAAUCAUCAAGACUCCUCGCAGAAAGCACACCAGAAUACUUCGUCAUUAAAGGCCCCAACUUGACUGAAGACGGAGAAGAAGGACCUGACUUGUCUAAAGUUGACGAAGAAAAAUGAGUGCCAAAAUACUCACCCAACCAACCAUACACAUAGUGGUAAGGGGAGCACCGCAGCACGAUCUUCAGUGCUUGCCAAGUUUCGAAAAUAACGUUCAAGCCGUCGUAAAUAUUGGCUAAAACUGGAAUAGCAAGACUAAAAGAUUCGCCUACAGCCAUCUUGCUAGCAACUUUGAAGACUCCGGGACGAAUGAAGUUGACAUCAUCCUUGGGGAAAACAAACUUACAGAGCCAACAAGCUAAGAGAGCGGCUAAGUAAGAUUCUUCUAAGUGCUCUGACGCCACGCCACAAUCCUCGAAUGCCUUCAACUCAGCAGAAAGUACGACGAACAGCUGGACCAAUGACACCAGACGGGUCCGAGUCCCCUUAGGCCUGGUUGUCUUGUUACGACCGCUUUUCUUCGAAGGCCUCUUGUACUUCAUGGCAUCCCAAUACCAAAAUUGGAUCCAUGAAGAGAUCUUCACGCCUGACUUACCUGGGGGCCUCUUGGAAAAGCUUAUGGUAUGCCCCAAACAAAUAACGGCAGCUUGCAGGUAAUCCUCGGCUGUUGCGAUAAGAGAAAACUCUUUCCACACUAGGAACAACCUCAUCGUAAAAUUGUCCCUGGAUUGGGCAAGCCCUCCUAUCUUAUGGAGAUCCCAAAGCGAGAUCGACAUCUCCCCUCGAGCCGUAUGAAGUGUGUGUUGGUCGCUGAACACCAAUGCUCGAAGAAUGCACGAAUGACGGAAGGAUGUCGGUCAUAACUGAACAGAGAUGCAUAUACAGCAUGAUAAAGUCCCGUGUUGGUAAGCAUAUCUUUAGAACGGCUCAAGACAUCUUCAAGCCAUUCCCAAUAAAACUCAACAAAGGCGGCUCCUCCAGUAGUCGACAAGGUGCUACUCCAAGCCAUAGCUCCGCUACGGAUACGAUCGCCAAGAAGCUCAAACGAAACCGAAUGAUUGUGUCACGAACAUGGUGCGAAUGGUUCAAGAUAAGACUCAUCGAUGUGCAUGCCUUUUUCUUUGCAUUUAGUCGAACAGAGUCUACCACAUCCCAAGGUACUUCAGAAGACCACGACUUAAUAUGCAUGGAAUUGUCUUUUGCGGGAAGGGCAAGCGCCUUGGGGCCAGGUAAGUGGCGCAUAAAGCUUUAACGUCGUUCCACUAUCCUGUGAAUCGCCUUCCUUUGCAAGAAUGGUGAUAGUGUUGUUUUUUAAAACACUUGAGAAACACCAUGACUGCAACAAAAAAGUCAGCCACAAAACUUGAGCAGGGCGGCAAAGAAGGCAGCUACAGGGCGGGUCCUUCAAAGCACGCUGCAGUGGCAGAGGAAACCAAAAUGCUACGCAAAACUCGCGGCGGAGCCCCGCUGCAGUCUCUUGCACAGCUCCACACGGCAGCGCACCACCGAGGGAAAACUGUGAUCAAAAGGCACUACACGGCAAAAACUUAGUUGCAGUCUCUUGUACAGCCCCACAACGGCAGCGCACCACCGAGGGAAAACUGUAAUCAAAAGACACUACACGGCAAAACUUCGUUGCAGUCUCUUGUACAAGAACACCCACGUCCUGCUCACCCCGCCACUAACUGCAACCACGGGCAAAAGAACCUUUGUCAAAACAACAGUACACCCAUAUUUAUAUUAUUAUAUGGACACAUUACAUAUAUAUACGUAUGUGUGUACGUGUGCACGGCUGGUGUGAUGAGACAAAUCAGCAAUCUUCAUAUAUGUGCGCGUGCGGUGAUGGAACAAAGCAAGGUCAGUGUGUGAACGUGUGUGUGUAUAUAUACACAUGACAAAGCCAUGCAAACAAAGUCUGUGUGUAUGUAUGUAUGUGAAAUGAAAGUCAAAGUUUCUGUGUGUGUGUAUAAGGCACAGCAACAAAUCCCAUAUAUAAAACAUAUAUGCGUACACAGUGAUAAUGACGGGACAAAUCAAUUUCCACAUACAUGUACAUGUGUGCACGGUAUCAAUCACAACCAACUUCCAUAUAUAUGUAUGCAUGCAGAAUGAUGGGACAGCCGCCAGCCAACUUAUAUAAUAUAUAUAUAUAUAUAUAUAUAUAUAUAUAUAUAUAUAUAUAUAUACAUGCAAAGCGACAGGACACUCAACAUAUAUAUAUAUAUAUAUAUAUAUAUAUAUAUAUAUAUAUAUAUAUAUAUAUAUAUAUAUAUAUAUAUAUAUAUAUGUACGUACAACAUGUCAAAAGCAUCUCAGGGUUAUAUAAAUAUAUAUAUAUAUAUAUAUAUAUAUAUAUAUAUAUAUAUAUAUAUAUAUAAGUGUAAGUAUGUGCGGCAUCCAAGAUGAGACAACUAAUCUCAAGGUUGUGUAUAUAUAUAUAAAUAAGUGUAAGUGUGUGCGGCUCCAGGCUAUAUAUAUAAAGGCUUGCUGUGUGCGGUUCCAGGACAUAUAUAUAUAUAAACGCCUGCUGCGUGCGGCUCUGGGACAUAUAUAUAUAUAUAUAUAUGCAUGGUGAUGGGUUAUACAUAUAAACGGACUCACGAAGUAAAAGCUGCAUCCUGCUAGCCGACUGCCUUCUUCUUCCCGUCUGCAGCACUGGUCAUCCCCUCCUCAACGCUUUGCACACCUUAAGCUCCAGCACCGAGACUCCCCUUGUCAAGCUCACUUCUGCAGCCUCAGACCACCGUCUCUGUCCAUCAAUGCGAAGCCAACCCGAACCCGUCGUUCGCCGUCAGGAUCCUCUCUGCUGCAUUUCCUUCCAGCACCGAGCUCAGUAGCAGCAAACGAGGAUCCUCCAGGAACAAUAGGCGCACUGUUAGUAGCAUGAGCAACAGAGGAUGCUACAUAAGAAAGCCCAGUCGACGAAGAUGUAGAGCUGAAAGAGGUAGCAAAAUACAGAGACUUACCAGCUAGCAGACGCGGGGAACGCAGGAAGCAGUGCACGCAGUCGUGAUCGCAGCCAGGUAGUAGCUGUGUGGUGAAUGUGCAGUGCCCUAUGUGUGUAUGUGUGUGCGUAUGCCUAUGUAUAUAUAUACAACGAUCUCAACGGUUGCAAAAGAAACGGAUCCGCAUACGAUGCAGUGACUGUGUAAACAGCAAUCCGCAUGCAGUGAAGAAUGCAGUACAAUAGCUGUUCGCAAACAAUGACCCGCGUGAAGAGAGGAGUGCAGAGAAUAAUGCAGUACAGUAGCUGUGCAAACAGUGAUCUGCGUGAAGAGAGGAGUGCAGAGAAUAAUGCAGUACGGUGACUGUCGCAAACAGUGAUCCGCGUGAAGAGAUGAACGCAGAGAAGAAUGUAGUAUAGUAGCUGUUCAAACAGUGAUCCGUGUGCAGAGAAGAACACAUGAAAAAAAAAAAAAAAAAAAAAAAAAAAAAAAAAAAAAAAAAAUGGUUGCAGUGACUGUGCAAAUAAAAAUGGUACAGAGAAGAAUACGAUGCAGCAAGGAAGACCCGUGCUCUCCACUUCGCUUCCCCUUUGAAGAAUCAUGUUCCUAGUUUCUUAAAUAUACAUAAUAAUAAAAAAAAAAAUGAUGAAAGGUGUUUGGUGCGCAACAUCCAUCAAAACAUAUGUAUACAAAUAGUGAAAUCUUGGUGUAUGGCACUACUCAAAAAAAAAAAAAAAAAAAAAAAAAAAAAAAAAAAAAAAAAAAAAAAAAAAAAAAAAAAAAAAAAAAAAAAAAAAAAAAAAAAAAUUGAAGGAAAGGUGGUGGCGACAAAAUCAUUGAAAGAUGGAAAAAUGGGAAGAAUGGUGCAUCAGGCACCAUCUAAAAGAAAGGUUAUGGGAUGACGCACAACAUCAUUUAAAAAAAAUUAAAUUAAAUUAAAUUAAAAAAUAAAAAAUAAAAAAAAAAAAAAAAAAAAAAAAAAAUAAUAAAAAAAUAAAAAUAAAAUAAAAUAAAAAAAUAAAAAAAGAAGAAGAGAGAAGUAACAUACCUUAGUUAGAUGUACGUUUUAUUUGCGUUUCAACACAACACACGGAAUAAAAUAAGGCAUGUCCAUUAAUAUCUCCGAGAAAUUACAAAAAAAAAAAAAAAAAAAAAAAAAAAAAAAAGAAAGAGAAAGAAAGUAGAAAAAGCCUUCACGAAUGUCACUUGUGUGAAGCCUCAGUACUUGGAGCCUUGGUACUCGGUGGAACCCUAAAGGAGGGGGGCACUGAAGAUAGCUUAUUCGGAGCCUCAAUACUUGGUCGAAUUCCAGAUGACGAAGGCAAAAAGUGCCUCCGGAAUACAUCCACAAACUUCAUAUGGUCACUUUGAAUUCGACCUUCGGAGUCCGUCAGCUGAUCAAGCUUCCUCUUCAUGCUCGUCGAAUAACUAUUUGCAAGCACAUGCAACUCUCUAUUCUCACGCUUGAGCUGCCUAAUCUCUUGACUAAGAGCCGCCACCUCGGCUGUCAAUGAUUCAACCUGGCGAGUUCGAGCAAGUAAGCGUUGGCCCAUGUUGGAAACAGAGUUCGCACACUGGACACUGAGAGCCUGGGACUCUUGAACAGCUAACUCAUCGGACCGUCGUGAAAGUAUCCUAUUAUCUUUAGGAGUGAUGAGGUUUCUAGCUACAACCGUAGCCGUGGUUGCAUCCCUCAUCACAGAGUCCUCAACUGUAAGAGGGCCAUUAGAAGAAAAAAAAGACGGGCGCCAUACAUUACCCUGACGCGGUGCACCUGUGUCACUGCUAAGACUCAAAUCUAAGCAAAUGUUAAACGGGGAAGUCAUUUUCAAAAAAAAAAAAUACUAGAAGAAAAAGGUUGGAUGAAGUAAAAAGUAGCAGAGAUGAUUUUUCACGGGCAGGCAAUCUUCAAAUUGUGCAUGUCGAACACAAUUGACACUCCUUUAAAAGGAGAGGCAGCACAAACCAUUCGUUCAUAAAUUGAAGAGGCACCACUCUCCGAAUUUCAAAACCCGGAUUUUCCUGCGAAAAGUCCGUCGACGCUUUUCAGACACAAUCUCAGCUUUCGGCUAUCACGUGCAACUUUAUCAGAUAUCACUGACAAAGCUGAAAACGCGUGAGGUCCAUUAUGCCAACUACCGCACUUCUGCCGACAAGCGUGGGUGACAAGGCCACGCUCACCCUGCCACUUGAUGUUGAGAGCUCACCAUAUAAUUCGACCUCCAUCCUAUAGCAAGACACACAUCCAGCCUGACUUUUCUUCCUUGCCGAAGACAUCUGCAACCAAAACUCAGUUUUCUUCCUCCCUGAAAACACAUCCAGCCUGACCUUUCUUCCUCGCCGAAGGCAUCUGCAACCAAAACUCGGUUUUCUUCCUCCCUGGAAGCGCCUCGUCAACCAAGCCACACUAGAGCAAAGGUAUCUCAUAUCACUAGGGUUGAGAGCAAGAGUAUCUCAUAGCAUGCUUUCUCCCUAUCCUUUUCUUUGUCCUCCCUCUUCACCGCGAAGACAAGGAUAAAGAAAGCAAUAUGUCGGAACCUCCACUCAAGCUCCUGGUAUGGAACCGACUGCUUGGAACCUUCCCUGAUUGCUCACCUAGCCGUGCUCUCGAAUACUCAUCUUCAACAUCUCUUCUGCUUCCUCUUCGUCUACCACGUCUGCCUGGAAAACAGAUGAUGCAGGUGAAGAUGAUGCAGAUGAAGAUGAUGCAUCGAAGCAUAUGGAGACAAGCGCGACGAAUGCAUGUGUUGAUCGUCCACUACUUCUUCAAAAGCAAAAGUAUCUCAUAUCACUGGGGUCGAAAGCAAAGGUAUCUCAUAUCAUGCUUUCCCCCCAUCAUUUCCCACGUCCUUGCUCUUGCCUGCAGAACAAGGAGAAGGGAAGCAAUCAGUCGGAACCUGAAAUUAAACGUCCGAUCAAGAACUGAUUGCCUGCAACCUUUGCCUGGUUACCUACUUGGCGUUGCUCUCGAGUGCUCAUCUUCAACUGCUGAUAUGUCUCGAAUUCCCUCAGCAAAUGCUUCAGGAGUGUGGAUCUGUUGACAUCGGCUCUUUGCACUGAAGCUGCCAAGCGUGAGUGAGUCGCUGAGAGGUGGUGCUCCGAAGAACCAUUUAAAGGCAAAUAGGUUGCACACAACUUCAGCUAUGCCAGGGAAACAAGUAGAGAAGAAUGCAACAUAACAAGCUGGAACAAAUCAUGAAGCACGAAGCCCUUCCCUGCAUAGCUGCAUAAUCCAGACGGACGAGUUCAAGUAAAGAUCCAAACUGGACACCGUUGCUCUAACCAAAAGGCUCGAGAAGCUUUUAACAACCUUUCGUUGGCACCGUCACCAAAGAGCAAAAGUCUCGAUAAUCCUUAAAGAUCAAGUCACCAACUGGAAGAAGAGCCCAUCAAUCUUGAAGAUCAUACUGUUGACCAAACUGCUCAGGGUUCAUAUGAAAAGGCUGCGAACUUCCUUGAUCUUUCAAAGCAUGCAUGUCCUGGAACUGCUCGUGGUCACGUUUAAGUUCGAGAUCAAGCUUUAACAACCCUGACUCAAGAUCAAGUGUCCACCACCCUUGAGUCAAAUCCAGUUCAAAAUGAAGUAUGUGGAAAGUCCUUUGGAGGAAACCAGAAAACUCCUUCAGCCUAGUUCAAGAUCAAAGCUGUGGAAAGUCAACAAGCACAACAAAAUACGUGUCGAUUCAUCCAUCAUCAAAGCCAAGGAUCGUCUUCUACACGAAGCUCCUUGUAGUCCAAUUUUAUCCAAGAUCAAGCCUCAACGGCCCUUGAAGAAACUUCAAACAAAAUUCAAGAACAAGCCUUAACGGCACUUGAAGAAACUCCCAGACCGGUUCAAGAUCAAGCCUCAGCGGCCCUUGGAUCGACAACUGCAUUAAGGGACUUCAAAACGCAUCUUUCUACAUGUAACAAGCACAUGUAUACAACGCGUCUUGAAGUGGGGGCAUUUGUAGACAUUGAAAUUUUUGGUGGCAUAAAUGUUAGCGCUUGCAUUAAGAUUACAUUUGUAAACAUUGAAAUUUUAGUGAAAUAAAUGUUGACCAUUGUGUUUAAAACUACAACCUUCAUCCAAAUUCACCUACAACCCCCACCCAAAUUCACCUACAACAACCAAUCCAAAUUCACCUACAACCUCCACCCAAAUUCACCUACAACAAUCCAUCCAAAUUCACCUACAACCUCAACCCAAAUUCACCUACAACCAAUCCACCAAUUCACCUACAACAUACACCAAAACAAAUGGAUGGUGGUGGUUCAUUUCUCAAGGCCUAUAAAUAGGCUCCUCCAUCAAAGAAUCAAAGGAGGAUUUUAGAUACACUUUCUCUACUCCCAAAUUGGAAGAGAAAUCACACCACACCAAAGCCUUGAAGCCUCGAAACUCUGAAGCUCUCAAGUAAAUCCCGAAGGAUCAAGAAAGCCCUAUCUGUUCUUCGUGAAAUCCUCCUUCAAGAUCAAGCUCCAACGCCCCUUGAAGAACUUCCACCCAUUCAAGAUCAAGCCCCGACGGCCCUUGAAGAAGGUGUUCAUCAUUCAUCAACUGUUCGUCCAAGAUCAAGCCUCGACGGCCCUUGGAUCAACAACACUACAUCUACACGUUUCAAAGAUAGAAUCAGAGGAUAAAUUUGUAGAAGAGAUUGUAACCCCUAAAUCAUUAAUACAAAUAUUAUUUUGGACACGUGUUCUUGUCUCUUUCGUUUCAGGAAUUUCCGUGUUUACAGGUAUUAUCGCAAAUACUUAUAAGUUAAGAUGAUACUUCAGCAAAUAACCCUAAACUUUUCAAUUUGUAGAUCCCGUGUUAUAAUAUAAAUGAAGAAUGAAAAAAUAUAUUUUAAUGUCAUUUCAUUUGUAUUAUAACACGUAGUAUACAUGUACGGACUAACGUUGCGAAUACACUGAAAAAAUCUUUCGUUCGAUAUUAUUACUGAUUGGUUGCAAACUCUGUUCAUGUGGAACAGAACAGACCAGAACAAAAAUAAGAGAGGUUAUAAAGGUUCCAUACGUAAACGAGUCACCGACCAAACGGUUGUAACUCUACUUUUCAUCCGUCGUUUUUCACUCCCCGUCUUGUUCGUGCUCUCAAGCCUUGCCAACAUUCAUCAGAUUUUUCCAAAACCAACAACACGAACCCAACGAAUUAUCUCAAAAAAACAAUUUCCGGGUCUUUCAUUUCAGUCCAAAAAUCUCAGAUGGGUCGUCGUCGGCAGAGCGACUCAGAACUCGGCCGUCUCACACUUCUGGCCCUUUUCCUGAUGGGCGCAAUCUUCUGCUGCAUGGUGUACCUGUUCCUCGCUGUGGCCUCAAAACCCAGCAGCAUAACAACAGCUGAUUCGGUUUCGGAAUUCGGAGACGUUGGAUGGAGGAGUGGAGAAGAAGAUGGAGAAUGCUGCAGAGGGAUUGAGAAUUUAGAGCUCUGGGGUGAUGCUGUGAAAUGGGGUUCUGAGUUUAAGGUGAAUUCUUCUAAAGAGUGCUGCAUGUCUUGUAAGGAUAUGUGCGGGGAUCGAGAUGGGCAUUGUUUGUGUGACAGUUGGGUGUUUUGUGGGGAUAGAGAGGCUUGUGGACUUAGAUAUGGUGAGGGUAUGGUUUUCUCUCCGUUUCAUCAAAUCUGCUCUCUCUACUAUUUAACAUUUAUUUUUGGGUAUAUUCAUUUUAAUUGAGCGGUAUUCUAAUUUAAUCUAAACUACGGAGUAGGGGAAUUACACUAGAGCGUGUAGCCAACUUGGUUACGCCCAUGUAUGCGUAAAUUCCUAUGAUGGUUUGGUUUAUUUAUUCCAAGGAAGCUUUGGGAGAUAAUGUAGAUGGAAAUUCGUAGUGUGGUUGUGUAGUUUUCAUAUAAUGUACAAGAAUUUAUUGUACUCGUAUAAGAUAAGAGAGUUUCGGUGUGACGAUUGGGAAUAGUCAGCAAAUUUUGAGAUUGUGCGUAGUCCAUUUUCUGGUGCUUGCAACUUUUAGGGCUACUAUUCAGUCUAUUCUACCAUAUUCUUCUUAUUUAUUCUUAAAAAUUCAUGGCAAUCCUGGCUCGGGACAUUAUCAACAUGAACGAGAGCAUUAUCGAAAUUAGCAUCUUGCACAUCAAUAUGACUGUUACAUUCUUGAUAAAUCCUUUGAUUGAAUUAACUGGUUUGGGUUCUAAGCUGCCUAUCUUCUUCAUGCUUGCAGUGUUGGUUAAAGAAACAAAAGGAUACCUUGGACCCUGAUCGGAAAGACUCAGGUGAUCUGAUUGCAUGGACUUCUGGACUCGUCUUUGGAAAAGGAGAGGUAAAUAAUUACUGUUUGUCAUAGUACUUGUCUUUGGUUGUAAUUCUACUACUAAUUAUGUUGUCAAGUUUUGGUACUUGUUUACUCAUGCGCCCGAGGGUCCCAUUUAUGUGUUUCGUUGCUGAUAUAUGAACAUUUCUUCUUUGGGACAAAACGAUUCACAGAAAUUUUCAGAUCAGAGUAACUAAGAUUGUAGUUACUAUGUUUAGUUUUACCAAAAGCAGUUUGGCUUAUAAUUUUUUUAUUGGAGAUUACUACACUUUGAUUCGGUGAACAUCUGAUUACUGUUUGAUUAGUUCACAUUAGCAGGGGCAGCCAACAAAAACGACCUAGUUUUGUCUGAAACCUGGCUUCGAGAGUGGCUUCUGUUUUGAUGCUUUUAGCCGACUGCAGUUAUGUUUGCGAGAAGGCUUAGUUGACUUGAGUUGGUUACCUGAGGUUGUUAAAAUUAGAAGACAUUUCUAGUAUUUGUAGGAGGGGAUGUAAGAAUUUGGCAUGGGUGUGGUUUUUCUAUGAGUUUCAAAGAGGAGUGCAUAACGUGAAAGAUCGAUGUGUAUUGUAGCAGCAGAUUUUUUCGUAUAUUAUAUGAGUGGUUUUAAGGAAGUUAGACUAAAAGUUAUUUCUGUUUUCUGUGUCUUCUUGUCUGUUCACAUAACAUGGCUUGUAUCUACCCUUCGAUUUCCACAGGGUAUUGUCGGCUUGGAAACAGAGUAUGGGACUCUUCAUAUAAAGGUUAAUUCUUCCUCCUCAGGAGUAGAUGCGUAAUCUAGGAUCUCUUACAACCCUGAGCUAAAUCUUAUUCAGUUAAGUUAUGCUGAUACUGUAGUGAUCGAAAGUUUUAGACUGCAUAUUUGUUCACAAUGUGCUGUUUAGCUUUCAUGAAUUUGAAACUCUAGCGGCUAUAUGAUGCUGCUCGUUAUAAGCUUUAACAAAUUUACUAUUUCUCGUGUGAAAAUAAGGAUUCGUACUAGUAUCUGAAUGUUGAUAAAACAAAAACACUGUUUCAUUUGAAAACAAAAAUGUUAACUGAUCGAAACUUGCUAGGUUUAGGGGUAUUCUUCAGUGUUCUCCGUCAAGCUCCUUCACAAUUGAUGCGAUUUCUUUUUCUUAUAAGUUGUUAUGUUCAUGUAAUCUUCUUAAAACUAAACUGUAUGAUUACAGCAUCUACUCUCGUUCGGUUCUUAAAUUUAUGCAGCUCCGUCCUGAUUGUGCCCCACAUUCUGUUGCCUACAUUCUUGAGCUGUUGCAAGUGCCCCGUUAUGCAGGCUGCCAAUUUUAUCGCGCAGAAAACCGGGGAAGCUUUUGGGACUCACUAGGAAACCAUGUAAAAAAUGUAAGUUUCGGACUCAGGAGUUGUAACUCUUCAGCUUUGUCUGAGUUUUGAGCUUGCUUGUUGUGAGUGCCCGUCAUUCCAAUCUUGUAGCAUAUAUCCGCGUUAUAACAUAGUUGCUCGCGUAUACCUGCUUUUGGUAUUUAUUUCUCAUUUCAGAAGUUUCUCAUGUAAGCUAUAUAGGCUCCGUUUGGCCCGCCUUUCGCGCUAAUACAAGGAACGCUUGCAGCUCACGGGUUCGUAUUUAAGGAGAUUCCGGCAGAGGUGUCUGGCACCAUCAGAAGAGGAUCGGUUGCCUGGAUUGGUUCCGGUCCAGAAUUCUUCAUCAGCCUAGCCAACCAUUUUGAGUGGAAAAAAGCUUACACUGUGUUUGGUUCCGUUCUUCCUGAAGACAUGGAAAUCGCCGAGAAAAUUGCCCAGCUUCCGACCAAACAAGAGGUCUGGAGUAACAUCAAUGUCUCCGUCUUGGAGAGUCCUGUCGCUUUAUGGUUCCGAAGAAUCAAGCCGGAAUCAUGAUGCUGCAAGGUUCGCCGGAAUAAUGACAUUGCCAGGUUCGAUGCGUACAUAAACACGCAUCAUGCUCAGUGUGAUGCUGUUUUUCUUGGGCUUUCUACUUAAAACACAUAUUGGCGAAGAAAAUGCAAGUUUAAUAGUUGUUCGUCCUUGCUAGUUAGAUUUGUUGCCUAUUCAAUUUGUAGAUAAAGAGAGUUCCCAGAUAUUGAUUCUCUAAGCAUUGUGUUACGAUACCAAGCAAACUGCAUCGCGUAAUCGCUACUCGGUUUCUAAAAUCAUACCAUGCUUUGUGUUGCUAGAUUCAGAAUCUGCUAGGCCGUCUGACAAGAGAACAUUUUUCUCGAAUAUAUAGUUUCCACUACACGAGACAAAAAGCUAAUCUACAUAGUUUCCGCUACGCGAGACCACAGGCUACAAAGACUAAGCUACAAUCUUCGACUAGAACCAAGCUAACGUGACCAAGUUCCACAUUCCCUCAACACUUUGAAAACAAAAGGAAAUUGUAAAAAGUGGCUCGUAAACGAGAGUUAAACACGAAAUUACAACUAAUUAAACUCACAUUACCUAGUCCCUCUAUGAUCCAAAAGCACCACCGGCUGCUAUCUUCCAAUGCAAUCCCACCAUCUAUGCCUCAGGGGAUGGCAUUCUCUUGGCCUUCUUCUUCUUCUCCGAAACCGCCUUCGCAAAAGCCUCCACAAUUCUUUGCUGAGAGUCCAAAAUCAUUUCCGUCCGCUUCAUUUCCAUCUCCAUCCGCAUCGCCUCGACCUCCCUCGCCAUCUCCAUCUUCAUCUGCUCCAUCCUCACAAACCCAUCUCCCAAAAGCUUAAUCGCCGACACCAUCUCCGCCACGGGGUCUCUCUCCCUCUCCCUCCCAUUCCCUUCUCUCUUCCCCAAUCCGGGCCUCCCCGAAUUCCCACACUCUCUCAUCACCUUAGCACUCCCAUAAACCGACGCUGGAUUCGAAUUCAUCCCGAAUUUCUGAUCCAUCUUCGGAUACACCUUGGUCCCAGGCUGAGCUAUACUAACCCCAGUUGGAAUCCUAAUCCUAAACCCACUUCCGGCACCAGCACCGCCACCACUUCCGCCACUUCCGCCACCAACCCCAACUCCAUUCCUAUACAACUUACUCAUACUCUUCAUAUUCGACCCGUACCUCAGCUCCUCAUAGAGCUCCUGAUCCGGAUCCUCCUCCUCUUCGUUCUCCUCGUUCUCCUCCUCUUCGCCGGGACUUUCGGAGUUUUCCCUCUUCCCAGCUGCCGGCCCCUUCUCCAUGGCGUCCAUCCGCUUGAAGUGGACCCACGACGACGUGAAUCUGGACAACGGCAUCGACCUGGCUCGCUGGAUCUCAGUCCGGUACCGCUUCCGGAGCUUCUCCAUCUUGUGACGGCACUGAACGGCGGGGGUCUUCGCGGGAGAAGCAGCCGGGCAUCGCCGAGCGACCGGCGUCGGCCACGUCCUGCCAGUGGGUGGCUUGAGGUUUCCACGGCGGAGGGAGUACCACUUUUCGCGGUAGGAGUCAUGAGGGCGACGUCUCGUCGUGGGACCAGCAGGGANNNNNNNNNNNNNNNNNNNNNNNNNNNNNNNNNNNNNNNNNNNNNNNNNNNNNNNNNNNNNNNNNNNNNNNNNNNNNNNNNNNNNNNNNNNNNNNNNNNNNNNNNNNNNNNNNNNNNNNNNNNNNNNNNNNNNNNNNNNNNNNNNNNNNNNNNNNNNNNNNNNNNNNNNNNNNNNNNNNNNNNNNNNNNNNNNNNNNNNNNNNNNNNNNNNNNNNNNNNNNNNNNNNNNNNNNNNNNNNNNNNNNNNNNNNNNNNNNNNNNNNNNNNNNNNNNNNNNNNNNNNNNNNNNNNNNNNNNNNNNNNNNNNNNNNNNNNNNNNNNNNNNNNNNNNNNNNNNNNNNNNNNNNNNNNNNNNNNNNNNNNNNNNNNNNNNNNNNNNNNNNNNNNNNNNNNNNNNNNNNNNNNNNNNNNNNNNNNNNNNNNNNNNNNNNNNNNNNNNNNNNNNNNNNNNNNNNNNNNNNNNNNNNNNNNNNNNNNNNNNNNNNNNNNNNNNNNNNNNNAACACCUAAAAAGCAGGAACGACAAGCCAUGCCCAAGAAGCAAGAAGAAGAAGUUACGCCGUCUUCAAGCAAGAACGAUAAUGAGCCGGCUAAACGUGCAACAACAAAGGAGAGUAAGACGCCCUCAAAUGGACCAAACACACCCGUCUUCCGAUACAUCCCGAUGUCGAGAAGAAAGAAUGGUCAAUCCCCGUUCGAAACUGGAGCAAACAAAGCCGAUGCACAGAGGUAUAUGGAUAAUGUAAAGUUGCUCAAGACGAAUGCAGUUUUACCUCUGACGCAGCUAGGCGGCACUAAGGUCGCAAGACUACCACAAGGCUUCAUAAAAGCUCUACCAAAGGGGGUGGAACCAAGCUUUCUCCCAACCCAGAGGACCGAAGAAGGUUUUGAUCCAAACGCCUAUAAACUCAUGUCGAAAGCUGGCUACGACUUUGCUUCUUCUUCGAAUCAUGGAAAGAAGGUUUCAAACACCGUUAACAAUAAAGAACGUGACCUCACCGAGACUCAAAGGAAGUUGAAGAAGCACGGUUACGGAGUUGAUAACAACAAAGCUGGACUAGGCUUCACACCAAACGCACCCGUGAAGAUUUCAAGCAAAGCGAAAAAUGCUAGCACUCAACACAUCAGCGUGAGUAAUGAACAAGAUCAUGAUGAGCCUAAAUCCACCCUUGGACGUCAGUCUUCGAUAGGAUGAAUCGUUCAAAACCCAGAAUGUCAGCAUUUAACCGCAUUGGUGGUCAAAACCGAACCUCCGUCUUCAAGAGACUUAACAUGCUAGCAUCCCAAAGCUCUGUUUUUGAAAGGUUGUCAAAACCUAAGAAGCAAAGCAACACGACUAGCUCUCUUCCUCGUCAGUCAGCUUUGGAAAGACUUGAAGACAACAAGAAGUUUUCUAGAAAUAGGAAGACCACGUCAAAGGAAGAAAAGCUCGUCAUGAUAGCAGAAAAAUGUGAUAUUCGAAGCUCAAUUCCUUCAAGGAUGAAGCGCCAAGCAAUCUUGGAGGUGGACACAAAUGGACCACUAAAAGUAAGAAGGCGCACCAUCAUCCACACUGGACAAUCUUCAUGCCGACCAGCCCAAGAGGACGACACCGAAGAGGAAUUCCAAGAUGUCUUCCACAUCACGAUCCAAGAAAGCGAAGAAGAUGAGAUCCCCGAAGAAGGUGUCACUGCUGCGCCACCACAACUGGAGGAUGGGGGGCAAUCCACAGUCGAUGAUCUCAAGGAACUCAACUUAGGCACAAAAGAGGAGCAGAGACCUAUCUUCGUGAGUGCGUUGCUAAGUGCGGACGAGGUAGACGAGUAUUACCAACUGUUAUCAGAGUACAAAGACGUCUUUGCUUGGACUUACAAGGAAAUGCCCGGCCUUGACCCUGUCAUCGCUGUACAUCAUCUUGCAGUUAAGCCCGGAACGAGACCAAUAAAGCAAACUCAAAGGCGCUAUCGAUCCGAGCUCAUUCCACAAAUUGAGGUAGAGAUUGACAAGCUAAUCGAAGCAGGCUUCAUUCGAGAGGUGCAUAUACCCUAAGUGGAUCUCCAACAUCGUCAUCGUCCUUAAGAAAUCUGGACAAAUACGUGUUUGUGUAGACUUUCGGGACCUCAAUGACGCUUGCCCGAAAGAUGACUUUCCCUUGCCGAUCAUCGAAAUCAUGGUGGACGCGACCACUGGCCAUGAGGCACUGUCAUUUAUGGACGGCUCUUCUGGAUACAAUCAAAUUCGUAUGGCUCUCGAAGAUGAGGAACUAACAGCAUUCCGCACUCCAAAAGGUAUCUACUGCUACAAGGUGAUGCCCUUUGGUCUAAAGAACGCUGGAGCCACAUAUCAGCGAGCAAUGCAGAAAAUCUUCAAUGACAUGCUACACAAAAACGUAGAAUGUUAUGUAGACGAUGUGGUGGUCAAAACAAAGAAAAGAUCAGAUCACUUGAAGGAUUUGCGAGUAGUGUUCGAAAGGCUGCGAAAAUACAACCUCAAGAUGAACCCGUUAAAAUGUGCAUUUGGCGUCACCUCAGGAAAGUUUCUCGGCUUCGUUGUCAAGCACCGUGGCAUUGAAGUGGACCAAUCAAAGAUCAAGGCCAUUCGAAACAUGCCCGAGCCAAGAAACCUGCACGAGCUGAAAAGUCUACAAGGACGACUAGCCUUCAUCAGACGCUUCAUCUCCAACCUUGCAGGGCGUUGUCAACCGUUUAGUCGACUCAUGAAAAAGGAUGUCCCGUUCGUAUGGGACGAAGCGUGCCACAACGCUUUUGAAAGCAUAAAAAAAUAUUUAUCAAGUCCACCUGUCCUGGGGGCGCCUGUGCCCGGGAAACCACUCAUAUUGUACAUCGCCGCUCAGGAAAGUUCAGUGGGAGCACUCUUGGCACAGGAAAAUGAAUUCCAGAAAGAAGGAGCGCUUUACUACUUGAGUCGAACACUCACCGGCGCUGAGUUGAACUACUCCCCAAUAGAAAAAAAUGUGCCUUGCCUUGGUGUUUGCCAUCCAGAAGCUUAGACAUUACAUGCAUGCUUACACCAUCCACUUGGUUGCUAAAGCUGACCCGGUUAAAUACGUCAUGUCCAAGCCAGUUUUGACAGGGCGACUAGCUAAAUGGGCGUUGAUUCUCAAUCAAUACGAGAUCAUUUACGUCCCAGCUAAAGCCGUCAAGGGACAAGCAUUAGCAGACUUCCUUGCCGAUCAUCCAAUCCAUCCCAGCCGAUUGGAAAAUCUCAGACGACUUGCCUGACGAGGAGGUAUUCUACAUUGACAUAUUCCCGAGAUGGACGAUGUUCUUCGACGGAUCUGCACGAGCAGACGGAGCGGGGGCAGGAGUAGUAUUCAUGUCGCCACAAAGGCAAAUACUACCUUAUUCAUUCCAACUAAGCGAAUUGUGCUCCAACAACGUCGCUGAGUACCAAGCACUAAUCAUCGGGCUCCAAAUGGCGAUCAACAUGGAAAUCACAACCCUCGAGGUAUAUGGCGACUCCAAGCUCAUAAUUAGUCAACUCUUGACUGAAUAUGAGGUGAGAAAAGACGAUCUCGUCCCGUACUUCCGACUGGCAACUCAGCUGCUACAAAAGUUCGAGGCCGUAACACUAGAACAUGUGCCGAGAAAAGAAAAUCAAAUGGCAGACGCUCUCGCUAACCUAGCCUCGAGUAUGACACUAGGAGAAGACGAAGCGGCAGACGUGCCAGUUUGCCAAAGAUGGGUCAUCCCCCUCGCCACCGAAUGAAAUGCUACUAGAUGAUACAAAUGUCAUCUCGGUACUUCCAGUCGAUGUUGAAGAAUGGAGACAACCAUUGAUUGACUACUUAGAGUAUGGAAAACUUCCAAAUGAUCCUAGACACCGCUCUGAAAUACGUCGACGAGCACCUCGCUUCCUCUACUACAAAGAAAACACUCUACCGGCGCUCUUUCGAAGGAGUACUUCUGAGAUGCCUAGGUGAGGAAGAAGCCAAUCAAGCCAUGGAAGAAGCGCACUCAGGCGUGUGCGGGGCGCAUCAAUCUGGACCAAAGCUACAUUUCCAGCUCAAAAGAAUGGGUUACUACUGGCCAAGUAUGGUGAAGGAUUGCCUGGAACAUGCCAAAAGGUGCCAAGCUUGCCAAUUCCACGCCAACUUCAUACAUCAACCACCUGAACCAUUACACCCUACAACUGCUUCGUGGCCAUUCGAUGCAUGGGGACUGGACGUCGUGGGACCAAUUACUCCAAAGUCAUCUGCAGGAGAAGCCUACAUCCUAGCUGCAACAGAUUACUUUUCCAAGUGGGCUGAAGCCAUACCCCUAAGGGAAGUAAAAAAGGAAACUGUUGUCCGUUUCAUCAAAGAACAUAUCAUCCACAGAUAUGGUGUGCCUCGUUACAUUAUCACGGACAAUGGAAAACAGUUCUCCAACCGACUUGUAGACGAGCUCUGUGAGAAAUACAAGUUCAAGCAGCAUAAGUCUUCCAUGUAUCAUGCUCCGGCCAACGGUCUAGCGGAAGCAUUCAACAAAACAUUGUGCAACCUCUUAAAGAAGGUGAUCGGCCGAACAAAGAGGGACUGGCAUGAAAGAAUAAGCGAAGCACUUUGGGCAUAUAGGACGACGCAUAGGACUCCUACCCAAGCUACCCCUUAUUCUCUCGUAUAUGGCGUGGAAGCUGUUUUACCGCUAGAAAGUCAAAUCCCCUCACUUAGGAUGGCUAUACAAGAAGGUUUGACUGAUGAAGAGAAUGCAAAGUUGCGCCUUCAAGAGUUGGAAUCACUUGACGAAAGAAGGCUCGAAGCUCAACAACACCUGGAAUGCUACCAAGCACGGCUAUCCAAGGCAUUCAACAAGAAGGUCCGCCCAAGGUCUUUCCAAACUGGAGAUCUCGUCCUUGCAUUACGAAGGCCUAUCAUCACAACUCACAAGACAAAAAGCAAGUUCACAUCAAAGUGGGAUGGACCGUACGUAAUACAAGAGGUCUACAUAAGCGGCGCCUACUUAAUCAUGGCAGAGGACGGCUUGAAGAUCGGUCCCAUCAAUGGCAGAUUCUUGAAGCGUUACUACCCCUAAAAAGCGACGACCAGACUCCUUGCCUGCAUGAGCCUAAACUGCACACGGCACAAAGCUCCUGGCCCGCAAGAGCAUAAACUGUGUACGGCAAAAUCAUCAUCAAAAUCACUAUAAAAAAAAAAUAAAUAAAUUCAUCGCUCAUUUGAACUACGUUGUGACUUGAUCCCUCAUCAACCGGGGGUACGUAGGCAACUUGAAACUUAAAAAAAACUUCAAGUACAGUCACAUCAUCAACAAAAACACAAAUACUUUGAAGAAUAAAGAGCAAAUGCAAGAAGGCGAAUACUUCAUUUCUUAAAAAAAAAAAAAAAAAAAAAAAAAAAAAAAAAAAAAAAAAAAAAAAAAAACAGAAAAUAUUACUGGAAAGAUAUGUCCCUAAAACUACGGAGGCGAUCUUGAAGCAAGCCUUCCAAAGUCUUCAAAGUCUCCACCUCGGUCGGAGACAAGGUGGGCAAAUCCAUAGCCAGGCCUUUCUCUUGUUCUAGACGUGAGGUCUCCUCAUGGUGCUGAGAAAGUGUAGCUCUCUGUUCUGCAAGAACUUUUUCAAGUUGUGAUGCUUGAGUUCCCAACUGCUCUCGCUCUCGUACCAACGCAUCCAGACGCACCUGGACGGAAGCUAAAGAAGCCUCUGUGACUUGAUAAUCUCCCGAAGCAACUUGCUGAGAAGACCGGACUCGGGCCAAGGACAAGUCUAUCGCUGCAAGCUGUUGAGCUCGAUCAUCUGGGCUCAAUUUCUUCAAGGAAAUAGCGCGCAAGGAAGAAUACUCAGUGGAGGCGGCCAUAAGUUCGGCAAUCUUGUUCCUCAAAGACGAAGAAUCAACAUUAAGGUUGUCAAUCGUAGAAACAAGCUUCGACAAAUCUUCUUCGAGCAAUGAAAGGUCUUCCAGCGAACACUUCGAAAUCCUACUCUCAAUAUGGCUUUUGACAUCCAAGGCAGCACGAAGUUUGAGGCGAUGGAUAAAUUGCUCGGUACCAUUAAGGUUCGGCCCUCUCAAAGAGAUCGCAGAACUAGCUGGCAAAGGUGCUGGACGUAUGAUGGACUCUUGCACGCCUUCACCUACACACGGCAGGCUUGGAAGAUUGGGCGAAUUUUGAACGAGCUCUUCACCGGGCGGAUCCCCGAUCUCCCCGUCUGUAAGCAGAUCGCCUCCAAGUAGCAUAUCCAUAUAGGAGUGAACACCCGCGGCGGCCAAAUCAAAAGGACAAGAAGGCCCAACCUAAAGAAGACGAAGAGAGGUGUUAGAAGCAAAAGCUGAAAUAAGAAUAAGAAGUCAUGAGAGAGAAAGAAAUGCAUACAUCUUUCUCUAGAGACACACGACCAUCGGAUUGGGGAGGCCUAAACACUUCUUUCUUUUUAUGACGAAAAUUGACAUCGCUGUCAACCUGAGCAACUUCAAGUGGUCGUUUGUUUAAAACUUGUUGGCGCUGCCGCAAAACAAGUCCAUCUUCAUACGAAUCAACCUCGUCACCCGCCUCUUCAGAAGCAUCCAAAUGGUGAGGAGAUGAGCACAAACGUUGACGGACUAAAGCCACAGGUCUGUCUUGCAAGGGAGUUGCACUCACACAAUCAAAAGGUACCAGCUGCAUAGGAGUCGCAAAACUGCCUUCUUUCAACGCAUCGUGGCGUGAAUGGGAAGAAUUAUUACCACUUGCCAUCCCCAAAUCCUCAUGAUGUACCUUUGACCACCAAUGCGCGUAAACACGAGUCACUGGAUUACCCCUGAACUCGUCCUUGGCUGGCAGGGUGAUAUAAGCAUUCGUAAAUGCACGGGUACAAGACUCCCAAUGCAUAUACACGGCUUGCAAGGAUUCUGAUUGGGCCUUUUCCUUCAGCCUGCCCGGCACAUUUUGGACAAAACCAAAUUGCCUGCUAAAACGGUGAGGAUUGUACGGCUGAACGACGCAUCGGUUUUCUUGCCGCAAAGAAACAUACGCUGAGCGAAGACUUAUGAGAUAAGACAAAUCUGAAGAGCGAAGAUGCGAAUCAUCCAUGAUGCCUCGCCGUACUGAGCCAACUCUCGCCAGGCGGUCCAUUUUUUAAACCUUCACAACUUCUAAACAGUGUUUGAGCCUGCGAAUCAUCAAGACUCCUCGCAGAAAGCACACCAGAAUACUUCGUCAUUAAAGGCCCCAACUUGACUGAAGACGGAGAAGAAGGACCUGACUUGUCUAAAGUUGACGAAGAAAAAUGAGUGCCAAAAUACUCACCCAACCAACCAUACACAUAGUGGUAAGGGAGCACCGCAGCACGAUCUUCAGUGCUUGCCAAGUUCGAAAUAACGUUCAAGCCGUCGUAAAUAUUGGCUAAAACUGGAAUAGCAAGACUAAAAGAUUCGCCUACAGCCAUCUUGCUAGCAACUUUGAAGACUCCGGGACGAAUGAAGUUGACAUCAUCCUUGGGGAAAACAAACUUACAGAGCCAACAAGCUAAGAGAGCGGCUAAGUAAGAUUCUUCUAAGUGCUCUGACGCCACGCCACAAUCCUCGAAUGCCUUCAACUCAGCAGAAGUACGACGAACAGCUGGACCAAUGACACCAGACGGGUCCGAGUCCCCCUUAGGCCUGGUUGUCUUGUUACGACCGCUUUUCUUCGAAGGCCUCUUGUACUUCAUGGCAUCCCAAUACCAAAAUUGGAUCCAUGAAGAGAUCUUCACGCCUGACUUACCUGGGGCCUCUUGGAAAAGCUUAUGGUAUGCCCCAAACAAAUAACGGCAGCUUGCAGGUAAUCCUCGGCUGUUGCGAUAAGAAAACUCUUCCACACUAGGAACAACAACCUCAUCGUAAAAUUGUCCCUGGAUUGGCAAGCCUCCUAUCUUAUGGAGAUCCCAAAGCGAGAUCGACAUCUCCCCUCGAGCCGUAUGAAGUGUGUUGGUCGCUGAACACCAAUGCUCGAAGAAUGCACGAAUGACGGAAGGAUGUCGGUCAUAACUGAACAGAGAUGCAUAUACAGCAUGAUAAAGUCCCGUGUUGGUAAGCAUAUCUUUAGAACGGCUCAAGACACAUCUUCAAGCCAUUCCCAAUAAAACUCAACAAAGGCGGCUCCUCCAGUAGUCGACAAGGUGCUACUCCAAGCCAUAGCUCCGCUACGGAUACGAUCGCCAAGAAGCUCAAACGAAACCGAAUGAUUGUCACGAACAUGGUGCGAAUGGUUCAAGAUAAGACUCAUCGAUGUGCAUGCCUUUUUCUUUGCAUUUAGUCGAACAGAGUCUACCACAUCCCAAGGUACUUCAGAAGACCACGACUUAAUAUGCAUGGAAUUGUCUUUUGCGGGAAGGGCAAGCGCCUUGGGGCCGGUAAGUGGCGCAUAAAGCUUUAACGUCGUUCCACUAUCCUGUGAAUCGCCUUCCUUUGCAAGAAUGGUGAUAGUGUUGUUUUUAAAACACUUGAGAAACACCAUGACUGCAACAAAAAAGUCAGCCACAAAACUUGAGCAGGGCGGCAAAGAAGGCAGCUACAGGGCGGUCCUUCAAAGCACGCUGCAGUGGCAGAGGAAACCAAAAUGCUACGCAAACUCGCGGCGGAGCCCCGCUGCAGUCUCUUGCACAGCUCCACACGGCAGCGCACCACCGAGGGAAAACUGUGAUCAAAAGGCACUACACGGCAAAACUUAGUUGCAGUCUCUUGUACAGCCCCACACGGCAGCGCACCACCGAGGGAAAACUGUAAUCAAAAGACACUACACGGCAAAACUUCGUUGCAGUCUCUUGUACAAGAACACCCACGUCCUGCUCACCCCGCCACUAACUGCAACCACGGGCAAAAGAACCUUUGUCAAAACAACAAGUACACCCAUAUUAUAUAUAUAUAUGGACACAUUACAUAUAUACGUAUGUGUGUACGUGUGCACGGCUGGUGUGAUGAGACAAAUCAGCAAUCUUCAUAUAUGUGCGCGUGCGGUGAUGGAACAAAAGCAAGGUCAGUGUGUGAACGUGUGUGUGUAUAUAUACACAUGACAAAGCCAUGCAAACAAAGUCUGUGUGUAUGUAUGUAUGUAUGUGAAAUGAAAGUCAAAGUUUUCUGUGUGUGUGUAUAAGGCACAGCAACGAAAUCCCAUAUAUAAAACAUAUAUGCGUACACAGUGAUAAUGACGGGACAAAUCAAUUUCCACAUACAUGUACAUGUGUGCACGGUAUCAAUCACAACCAACUUCCAUAUAUAUGUAUGCAUGCAGAAUGAUGGGACAGCCGCCAGCCAACUUAUAUAUAUAUAUAUAUAUAUAUAUAUAUAUAUAUAUAUAUAUAUAUAUAUAUAUACAUGCAAAGCGACAGGACACUCAACAUAUAUAUAUAUAUAUAUAUAUAUAUAUAUAUAUAUAUAUAUAUAUAUAUAUAUAUAUAUAUAUAUAUAUAUAUGUACGUACAACAUGUCAAAAGCAUCUCAGGGUUAUAUAAAUAUAUAUAUAUAUAUAUAUAUAUAUAUAUAUAUAUUAUAUAUAUAUAUAUAUAAGUGUAAGUAUGUGCGGCAUCCAAGAUGAGACAACUAAUCUCAAGGUUGUGUAUAUAUAUAUAAAUAAGUGUAAGUGUGUGCGGCUCCAGGCUAUAUAUAUAAAGGCUUGCUGUGUGCGGUUCCAGGACAUAUAAUAUAUAUAAACGCCUGCUGCGUGCGGCUCUGGGACAUAUAUAUAUAUAUAUAUAUGCAUGGUGAUGGGUUAUACAUAUAAACGGGACUCACGAAGUAAAAGCUGCAUCCUGCUAGCCGACUGCCUUCUUCUUCCCGUCUGCAGCACUGGUCAUCCCCUCCUCAACGCUUUGCACACCUUAAGCUCCAGCACCGAGAGACUCCCCUUGUCAAGCUCACUUCUGCAGCCUCAGACCACCGUCUCUGUCCAUCAAUGCGAAGCCAACCCGAACCCGUCGUUCGCCGUCAGGAUCCUCUCUGCUGCAUUUCCUUCCAGCACCGAGCUCAGUAGCAGCAAACGAGGAUCCUCCAGGAACAAUAGGCGCACUGUUAGUAGCAUGAGCAACAGAGGAUGCUACAUAAGAAAGCCCAGUCGACGAAGAUGUAGAGCUGAAAGAGGUAGCAAAUACAGAGACUUACCAGCUAGCAGACGCGGGGAACGCAGGAAGCAGUGCACGCAGUCGUGAUCGCAGCCAGGUAGUAGCUGUGUGGUGAAUGUGCAGUGCCCUAUGUGUGUAUGUGUGUGCGUAUGCCUAUGUAUAUAUAUACAACGAUCUCAACGGUUGCAAAAGAAACGGAUCCGCAUACGAUGCAGUGACUGUGUAAACAGCAAUCCGCAUGCAGUGAAGAAUGCAGUACAAUAGCUGUCGCAAACAAUGACCCGCGUGAAGAGAGGAGUGCAGAGAAUAAUGCAGUACAGUAGCUGUGCAAACAGUGAUCUGCGUGAAGAGAGGAGUGCAGAGAAUAAUGCAGUACGGUGACUGUCGCAAACAGUGAUCCGCGUGAAGAGAUGAACGCAGAGAAGAAUGUAGUAUAGUAGCUGUUCAAACAGUGAUCCGUGUGCAGAGAAGAACACAUGAAAAAAAAAAAAAAAAAAAAAAAAAAAAAAAAAAAAAAAAAAUGGUGCAGUGACUGUGCAAAUAAAAAUGGUACAGAGAAGAAUACGAUGCAGCAAGGAAGACCCGUGCUCUCCACUUCGCUUCCCCUUUGAAGAAUCAUGUUCCUAGUUUCUUAAAUAUACAUAAUAAUAAAAAAAAAAAUGAUGAAAGGUGUUUGGGUGCGCAACAUCCAUCAAAACAUAUGUAUACAAAAUAGUGAAAUCUUGGUGUAUGGCACUACUCUAAAAAAAAAAAAAAAAAAAAAAAAAAAAAAAAAAAAAAAAAAAAAAAAAAAAAAAAAAAAAAAAAAAAAAAAAUUG